This 54708-nucleotide long non-coding RNA is filed under the name Capsicum annuum. RNAcentral describes it as "long non-coding RNA (CANN_LNC011713)". The record is from RNAcentral. Lineage: Eukaryota; Viridiplantae; Streptophyta; Magnoliopsida; Solanales; Solanaceae.
AUGUCAUCGCCUCUUGUGGCGCGGUACGCCACUGACUAAUAUGGCAUUAUUUUACGAUGGGAACUUGAAAUAGUCGUAACUUCUGACCCGGUUAUCGAAUUUGAGCGAAUCUUAUAUUGAUGGAAAGCUUAUUGAAUUUACCACAUGACAAAAAGUGAAAAUCCUAAAAAUUCCUUAUAGAAUAACCAUCAUUUAAUUUAGAAGAUAAUACUAGACAUUCUUGAGAUAAAAUUAGCUAGGAAAAGUAUGGGGUAUUACAAUAUCUCCCCCUUGAUAACAUUCAUCCUCGAAUGGGACUGACUGAGAAGGGAGAAAAGACAACUAACGUACAUGUUGAACAUGAAUAAGUGGAACAUGAUCUCAUGACUGACAAGCUGAACAUAUAAUAUUGAACAUGCAUAGCUGAUGCAUGUGUAAUUGAUUCAUGAAUGCAUGACUUAGUGUUCGGAAGAACUAAGUUUCUCACAAUGAGAAUGCAUGUCUGAUGCAUAAUUAUAUAACUGAACUGAUACAUGCGUGCCUGACUGAAUAUGCAAUGGUACUUGAUACCGAGUUUCUAAUGUGAACAUGAGCAUGAAGCUGCAUACCAAGUUUGUGAUGAACACUGAACAUAAAACUGAGUAAUCUUAAGGAGAACUGUUACCUUAAGCUUAAUCUGAGUUGGCGAAAAAGAGGUAAGGAUACUUGGUACGCAUGUCUGCCUCUGCUUUCCAAGUAGCUCUCUCGACGGACUGAUUUUGCCAAAAGACCUUAAAUAGAGAGACUUCUUUGUUCCUCAAUCUACGAGUCUAAUAGUCUAAGAUUUUGACUGGAAUAUCUUCAUAAGAGAGAGUGUUCUAAACAUCAAUGCUCUGAAUAGGGACUACAACUGAUGGGUCACCUAUACACUUCUUGAGCAAAGAGACAUGAAAGACUGGAUAAACUGAGGCUAGAUCUGAAGGCAAUUCAAGCUCAUAAGCUACCUUGCCGAAUCGACUGAGAAUCUUAAAGGGACCAACAUAUCGGGGACUGAGUUUCCCUUUCUUGUCGAACCUCUUCACUCCCUUCAUGGGAGAUAUCUUUAGAUAGACAUAGUCAUCAAUCUCGAACUGGAGAUCUUUUCUAUGAACAUCUGCAUAAGACUUCUAUCGGCUCUGAGCAGCCCAGAGUCUUUCUCUAAUCAAUUGGACUUUUUUUAAGGCAUCGAAUACUAAUUCAGGCCCUAUAACUAAGGCCUCACUAACUUCGAACCAACCAAUUAGAGAUCUACAUCUCUUACCGUAAAAAGCUUAGAAUGGAUCCAUCUAAAUACUGGAAAGAUAGUUGUUGUUGUAUGCAAACUCAAUCAAAGAUAAGUGGUCAUCCUAACUUCCCUUAAAAUCUAUUGCACACUUAAUUAGCAUAUAUUCUAAUGUCUGAAUGAUCCUUUCUGCUUGACCAUCUGUCUGAGAAUGAAAGGUUGUACUAAGAUGAACUUGGGUACCAAUACCCUUUUAGAAUGCUUUCCAAAAAUAAGAGGUGAACUGGGUACUCUAUCUGUGAUAAUGGACAACAAAACACCAUACAAUCUAACCAACUCCUUAAUGUAGAGUUUGGCGUAAUCCUCGGCUGAAUAAGAGGUAUGAACUGAAAAUAAAUGAGCUGAUUUGGUCAUUCUGACUACAAUGACCUAGACUAAAUCAUGUUGACGAGUUCAAGGCAAACCCAUCACAAAGUCUAUGUUCACAACUUUUCACUUCCAAGUAGGAAUACUAAACUCUUACAUGGACCCACUAGGCUUCUGAUGCUCUAUCUUAACUUGCUGACAUAUAGAACACUUAUCCAUAAACUCUUCAAUGACUCUCUUUAUACCACUCCACCAAUAGAUUUCUUACAAGUCACGGUGCAUCUUUAUGGACCCUGGAUGAAUAGAGUAGCGCGCACCAUAUGCAACUGCAAGAAUUCACUGCCUUAUGUCAUCUAAACCUAGAACACAGAGACGACCCUGACAACGAAGAACACUAUCUCCCCCUUGGAAUAAAACCUUUAUUUUUUUAUCCUGAACUAACUCUUUCAACUUGACAAGGAUGGGAUCUCUAUCUUGCUUUUAUUUUACCUCGAAAACUAGAGAUGAUUCUGAACUACUUUGAACCCAUAUAUCACCCUUAUCUGUAUCGACUAAGCAAACACCUAGUCUGGCGAGCUGAUGGACUUCCUGAUCUAACUUCUUCUUACUGUCCUUAAUAUGACAAACACUACCCAUGGAUAGUCUACUAAGAGUGUCGGCCACUAUGUUGGCCUUGCCCGGAUGAUAACGGACACUCAUGUCAUAAUAUUUCAAGAGCUCUAACCACCUUCUCUGACAAAGAUUGAGAUAUUUUUGAGAAAAGACAUACGUAAGUCUCUUAUGAUAUAUGAAGACAUCUACAUAAACUCCGUAGAGAUAAUGCCUCUAAAUUUGUAAGUCAAAGACUACGGCUGCUAACACAAGAUCAUGAGUAGAAUAAUUCCUCUCAUGAGUUUUAAGCUUUCUGGAGGCAUAGGCUAUGACCUUACCAUACUGCAUGAGAAAAUAACCCAAACCUACUCUAGAUGCAUCACAAUAUAUUACGAACUCAUCUAAACCAUCUGGGAGAGCUAAGGUUAGAGUUGACGUGAGUUGAGUCUUUAACUCCUGAAAACUCUUCUCGCAAGGAUCUGACCACUAAAACUUGACUUUCUUCUAAGUCAAUCUAUACAUAGGGGAUGCAAUAGAAGAAAUUCCCUGAACAAACCAUUUGUAAUAGCUAGCCAAACCCAAGAAACUCCUGAUAUCUGAUGAGAGACAGGUCUGGGUCAAUUUCUUACUGCUUUGGUCUUUUGAGGAUCUACUCUAAUGCCAUCACCGAAAAUGAUGUGACCAAGGAAUGCUACUUACCUUAGCCAAAAUUCACACUUACUGAAUUUGGCAAACAACUGAUGAUUUUUGCGAGUCUGAAGUAUUGUUCUGAGAUGAUCUGCAUAAUUAUGCUCACUAAGAAAAUAGACCAGAAUAUCAUCUAUGAAGACUAUGAUGAACAUGUCUAAGUAUUGCUUGAACACAUGGUUCAUCAAGUCCAUGAAAGCGGUUGGGGUAUUAGUAAGACCAAAUGACAUAACUAGGGAUUCGAAGUGAUCAUACCAGGUACGAAAAACUAUUUUCAAAAUGUCAUAUUCUCUGACUCUGAGCUGAUAAUAGCCGGAUCUGAGGUUUAUCUUAGAGAAAUAACUGGCACCCUGAAGUUGGUCAAACAAGUCAUCGAUCCUGGGAAGAGGAUACUUGUUCUUGACCGUGACCUUAUUGAGUUGAUGGUAGUCUACACACAUCCUAAGAGAACCAUCUUUCUUGUGCAUGAAUAAUACUGGAGCACCCCACUAGGAAAUACUAGGCCUGAUGAAUCCCUUAUCGAAGAGAUUCUUUAAUUGUUCUUUCAGUUCUCUGAGUUCUGCUGGUGCUGUUUUGUAUGGUAGAAUAGAUAUAGGCUGAGUAUCUGGGUAUUUCCCUUUCGGUAGGAAUUCAUAGAAAAUCUUCAGGAAAGACAUCUGAAUAUUCACCUACAACUGGAACUGAUUCAAGGCUGGGAGUUUUGGAACUAGUGUCCCUAACUCAAACAAGAUGAUAGACACAUCCUUUAGAUAUCAUUUUCCGUACCCGAAGGUAGGAAACAAGCUGACCUCUGAAAGUAUAUACACUACCCUUCCACUCUAGGACGGGUUCAUUUGGGAACUGAAACUGUACUAUUCUAUUUCUGCAGUCGACUGUGGCAGAGCAGAAAUGCAGCCAAUCCAUGUCGAGAAUGACAUCAAAAUUAGUUAUCUCUAAUUUGACUAAGUCAGCUGAAGUGACUUUCUAAAAUAUCAUAACUGGGCAGUUCUUGUAUACCUGUCUGGCUAUGAUGGUUUUACCCACUGGGGUAGAGACUGAAAAAGGCUCUGCUAGGAUUUCGGGAAUGAUUCUGAAGUUGCCUGCUAUAUAGGGAGUAACAAAAGACAAAGAAGCUUUUAGAUCUAGCAAAGCAUAAAUAUACACAUGAAAGAUCUGUAACGUACCAGUAACUACAUCAACAAAAUUUUCCUGAUCCUAUCGCGGCUGAAGAGCACAGAGAUAAUUUGGGCGUUGCUUACUAGUAGCACUGGUGGUGGCACCCUACUAAUUCCGGUGAACGGACUGAGCUGAGGAGUGGAGAUACUUUUCUAAUCUGACUGAGGGUAGUCUCUGACUCUGUGGCCUGGCUUUCCACAACUGAUACAUACAUCGCUACCAGCUCUGCAAAUACCCUUAUGGUUCUUACCAUAAGUCUGACAAAAGGGAUUAGUUCAGGCAUUACUAACACUACCCUGAGACCUAUAGCCUGGCGCUCUAUCUCUGCUACCCUCCCUAAACUUAGGAACUGGAACACUGCCUAAAGAAGGAGCUGGAACUAAUGACUUAGGACAAAACUGGGAACGGUUUCCUCCUUCUGAUUUAGGCUGAGCGAAGUUGAAACUACCUGUCUUUGCUCUCUUAUUUUGCUUCUCCCUCUGCUUAAUCUUCUGCUCCUUUAUCUAAUAAUCAUGAGUCAUAAGCCUAGCUAAAGUUAUGUCACUAUUCAACAUGGUAGAUCUGUACUCAUUUACCACACUAUCAUUUACCCCUGAAGCAAACUUAUUCAUCUUAGCUCUACGGUCUGCAACCACAUGAGGGGCAUAUCUGGCUAACUGAGAAAACUUAAGAGAAUACUCUUUCACCAUCAUAUUGCCCUGUCUGAGGUUGAUGAAUUCUAGAACCUUAGCCUUUCUAAGCUCUUGGGGAAAGAAUCUAUCUAAGAAUGCGGUGACAAACUCCUCCAACUCUAUAGGACCUGCAUUAACUGACCUUUCUGACUUUCACUAUUUAAACCAAGUAUGAGCCAUAUCCUACAAUUUAUAUGUAUCUAUCUCAGCACUCUCAACAAUAGUCACCCCCAUGAUGUCUAUCACCUUCUGAACCUGAUCAAUGAAUUCCUGAGGAGGAUUCAUUCAGGUGAAGUCCCGAAUCCUAGCUGUAGCUGAAUUGUCCAUUGGGUUGGACAGAAUGACUGUUGGCCAUUCAUUUUUAGCGGAAACUAACUAAGAAAGAGUAGUUAAUGCAGCCCUGAACUCCGCAUGAGAAACAUGAUCGCCAAAGGAUCUUUAGACUGAGGAGCUGACUUAUUUUUGUUUCUUCUUUUAGGAGGCAUGUUAUGUAGAAGAAAGGGAGAAAUAGAUUAGACUGAGAGAUUGACUUGAUAUUAUGCUCACUGGUAUGACAUGAAUACUGAAAGAGGUGAAACUGUUCUUAAAACAUCUUAUAGCCUCUUGUACAUAAAUGUGGCGCACAACACACCUAUGUACAAGAAUCUACUAGAUGCGGCUUUCAGACUUCCUAGGACUCUAUUGAAGCUUAGGCUCGGAUACCAAGUUUGUAAUGCCCCAAAUUAGGUUCCCGAAAUACUACACGGUGCUCAUGACCCCGAAGGACCACAAGCUAAUCCAUGACUGAUAUCUGUACCUGUAUACUGCAUAAUAUAUUGAAUAAUGCAGAAACAUACACUGAAAGGCCAAAAGGUUCAAUACUGAACAUGAUCUGAAUGAUAUAACAUCUGUGUGUGGUAACAGAAUACCCAAAACAAAACUAAAAAUACUAAAUUCUGAAACAUAAUAGUCUAGAAAGCCCCUAACUAACUGAACUGUCUGAGUAAGGAAUUGAUGGGACAUGUCCCCAACUAACUCCAACUAAUAAACUAAUUAAUGAGAUUAUAGCAAAAUAAUCAUGUCCUUGAAAGAUGAGGAAUCACUUCUAACUCUAUCUGCGGAUAUUUAGGAUCUAUUUUUGCUCUGGAGCUUGUGUCUCUGAACCUAUGGUAUAAGACAUCAUAGCGCAAAUGUGUCAGUACUUUGAAUGUAUUGGUAUGCAUGUGAGAUAGGCAGAAUGCAUAGGGUUCAUACGUAUGAACAAUAAUAAUAACUGACUAACUAUCAUGAGUGUGAGAAUACAUGCAUGAGACAUAACAACUGACACUAGUAUUGUGAUAACUUGAUUACUGAAUCUGAAUAUAACUGAUAACAUGAGUGACUAUAUCUGACAGUUCUGAAUCAGAUAGAACUAUCUGAGUUCUGUAUUGCAUCUGAGUUGACUGUAAUUGAUAGUCCUAAAAUCUGAAGAACUAUCUGAGUUCUAUUACUAAGACUGAUUGACUGUAUCUGACAGUCCUGAUUCUGUAACAUGAAACUGUGGGAAGUAAUUAUGUAACCAAUAUACCCCUGAUACGCCAUUAUGGCUGAGUUGGGGUCCAAUCUGUAAUCCCAAUUAGAAGGGUGUCAAUACAAUGCCACUGGUAAGGACAAGUUAUGGGCGACCCUCAUCUGACAGUGUCCCCUAUAUAAGAAUGGUAGGGCCCUUAUCUGACAGUGCUUAUCCACCUCAUCAACCCUCAUCGGACAGUGUUGAUGUCUCAACCUAUGUUGGCUACAUAGUUUUGUAAUGCAAGGAUGACUUCUAAGAAUCACACCCUCAUCUGAUAAUGUGUGUUCCCAUUCUUGGGUUUACUCGGUGAUAAUUCCUACUCCCAUCUGAAUAGACUCUGAAUAUGAUUUACUGAACUGAACUGGGCUGAGUUACUGAAUUCUGUUGAUAGAUGAAAUACUACUAAUAUAUGACAACUAACUGAGUUUAUGAGAUCAUGGAGAUUUCCUAAGUCAUAAGACUGUUUGAAGUCUAAGCAUCAUAGCUUGACUGAGAGUUUCAUGAAAACAUGACAUGGCUCUAGGUACACAGCUAAUGUUUUGGGUACGAGUACCCCCAGGACUUGAUAGAAGGAAACUGACCAAGCAUAACGUACUUGAACACAUAACUAACAUCAUAAUCCAUAAUACAUUUAUAGAAGCAUUUCAUCAAAACAUGUGAUAGGCAUAACUUGUACAUACAUGGGGAUUUCAUGGUAUCGUGCUAGUUAGGCCCUUUUCAUUCAUCUAGGAAUUUAAUGAAACAUGUUGUAGGCAUGGUACAUGUAAACAUCAUUGUACAAUAAUUAAAUCACAAAGAAAAUCCAUAACAUGAAGUUGGAAAAGGGAUUCUUGGACUUCAUGGACGAAAGGAGUCCAUGAAUGAACUCUAUGCAUACCUUAGUUCGUGAUUUCGUGAAGAUUGACGGUGAAACUUUCUUGAAAUUGGAUCUUCUUUGAAUACCCUAGCUUGUUCUUGAGAGAAAAUAGCAUAUUUUGGGUGAAAAGUGGCUGAAUCACGUGUUAAAGGGCUUAAAUAGGGGUGGGAAGUUGACCCUUUUAACCCUAGAUGCGUCAUUUAAUUUCAGUAAAAUUUUCCUGAACUGCACCCCUAGCGCGACACGGUGCUAUCACACAGUGUCACUGGAAUUUGAUAAUUGGAAAACUGAGUAUGGCGCGACGUGGAGCCAUCGCGUUUUCCCUUCUUUUACGACCUGGAACUUUGGCACCACGCGAGGAAAUUGCGCUAAGACACUGGAAAAGAACAAUUUUUAAUUUGGGCCCUGGCGCGAUGCGCCAUAAUCUCGGAAACCUACUGGAAUUUGCCAAAUGUCAUUUCCUCUUGAGCCGUGGUGUACCACUGACUAAUAUGGCAUUAUUUUAUGAUGGGAACUUCAAAUAGUCGUAACUUCUGAUUCGCUAAUCAUAUUUGGGCGAAUCUUAUAUCGAUGGAAAGCUUAUUGAAUUUCCCACAUGUCAAAAAGUAAAAAUUUUAAAAAUUCCUCAUAGAAUAACCAUCAUUCAAUUUAGAAGCUAAUACUAGGCACUCUUGAGAUGAAAUUAGCUAGGAAAAGUAUGGGGUAUUACAUCCCUGCAACUGGUAACGCAUCACUUGUGGCCUUGUGUUUUCUCGACUGUUUAUUCUGGGUAUCCCAUUUAUUUGUGUUGUCAUUUUUCUACAAAUCUUAUUUGUUCCUAUUAAAACCUUGUUUUUGAAUCUUCUGGAAAAGUUUCAUUGUUUGGAUAUCAUCAAGAGCAAACUCCACUAUUGGAUGAUGCUCGGGACUGAAAGUUUCUGUAUAUAGAUAAUUUAACUACUCAGAAUAACUAGAAACCUAAAAUGCUAAAGUCAACACAUCACCAAAAACUGAAAUCCACUAUUUGACAUCACCAUAAUUAAAUUCAAAAGGAAGGUCGCGAAUGAAAACUGUCCCUGUAGAUCAUCUACUACCUCACUUGGCAUAGCAUUGAUCUGUUUGCCCUUACCUAAAACGUCAUCAAGUGCUUUAUUCGGAGUAGAUGCAUCCAGUGGUUCAUCCAGCGGGAGAAAAGUGUCAAAUUUCUUUUCCUUCUUUUGGGGGCUUGAAAUAUCAUUUCCUGAAGUAGCUUUCCCUAUUGAAUUUGGAAAAAUAAAGUUCUGGAGAAUUUUUUUGGCGAUGUUCGCUUCCUCGUCAAAGUUAACUUCAGUUUGGUUAUCUUCUUCUAAAAGGUCAGAGUCAUCAUCGUCCCCUUCAGCUUGCUGAAAUUUUACAUCAAUGUCAAUGUCUUCAUCCUUCAUAUCACUACCACUAUCUUCUUUUGUGCUCUGUUCUGCAGAAGCAAUAGUAUAAAUUAAAUUAUUCCCGAAAUCAUGAAGUAAUACAUUCAAGAGCAUAAACACAGUAACUGGCAUAGUAUUACAACAUCACCACUAAGAUUAUAGGGAAAAGAAAGAACUAACUGCAGAAUAAUUUAAAUGAAUGAAGUGGCAACCAUCAAGAAUUCAACAUUCAUUACAUCCAGCCUAACAAAGGUUUGAAAAAGAAAAUAGCGACCCUUAAUCGUGCCUUAAACAUUAGGAAGAGGAAAUGACACAACACCUAUACAAUGGUCUUGUAGUUGGCAAUUUUAAGGUCAAUUUAAUGGAGGUCGGAUAUAUUGAAUAUAUGAAGUGCACUAAAAAUUAAUGAGAGAAGAAGCAAAAUAGGUUUUAUAUUAUCAUAGUCAUUCAACGAAUAAUUGAUAUUUCAUAAAGUUUUUUAGUUGACAAAAAAGUAAAAUUAAGAAAAUAAGUAAUUAUUUGAGAUAAAAACUAUUAGUUGAGUGAAUUUUUGGGAAAUCAAUCCUCUAAAAGAAAAUGUAUGAUACUUAUAUAGUUUUUCUUCAUAUCAAUGAUAUAUGUAUGAAGUUUCUAAGCUGAUAAAAAAAAUAUACCUGUGUAGGCACCAGACAAGUUUGUUGUUGCAACUGGUAUGAACGCAUUCUGUAACCUUGCUCUAAUGAAUGGUAUAAUUGAUAUACCUGAUUGGUGCUAUUUUAAGGCAUUUGGAAGUGAAGAAAAAUCAAACUUUACAGUAGCACCUUCAGCCCCUAAUUGGUUCUAUUUUUAGGCAUUUGGAAGUGAAGUAAAAUCAAACUUUACAGCAGCACCUUCAGCUGAACACCAUGCUCUAUUCUUCGACAAGUCGUCAAUUUCACAUGUAUCCAAGGUUUGCUUCUUCAACUACAUAGAUGUUAUUAUUGAAAUAAUGCAUUCUCGUAAUAAUUGCGUUUAUCAUGGAACUAUCAUUCAGGUCAUUUGAUCAUCUAGUCAUGAUGAAAUUAAUGUAUAAAAUAUUUUAAUUGUGAUAUAGGGCACAUCAUGUUAACUUCCUACCAGGGGCGGAUCUAUGUAGAAGGUUUGGGAUACCAUGGCACCCACACUUCUCAGUUGAAACUCUAUAAAUUUAUGUGUAUAUGUAUCAGCUAAUGUAUAAAUAGUAUGUUUGACACCCACAAUAUCAAAGUAAUUGGUAGUCCAAGUGGUCGAAAUGGCUGGGUUUUACUCCAGCAGGGCGGGUUCGAUCCCCGUUCAACACUGUAUUUUCAAUUUUUUAGAAUGAUUUUUACCACUAUGCUGUCUGUUUUCUCUUUCAAAAACAUAUUGUGGCUAUGAAGAAUGGAAUCCUUAACUUCUUCUUACAAAGCACUUGACAGUACCAACUAGGCGCAAGCCUUCAUGUCAUACCAAUAUUUGUUAAUAUAUAUAAUUAUAGUUUAUUCUUUGAAUAUUGACUCCACUAUCCUAAAAUAUAGUACGGAGUAUACGUUAUUGUUCAAAACAAGGUGGCGCCCAGAGCUUCUGAAUCCUGGAUCCGCCUCUGCUUCCUUCCAACCAAGUUUUGUAAAGUAGCUAAAUACAAUCCAAUUAUACUUUAGCAUCAACAUAAGAUACCCAAGGAAAUUCACCGACAUUCAUUUACCACACCAGUACAUGUCUGCACCGACCAGGAUAUCAAUCGAAGUAGGUAAAGAACAUUUUGCACAUUUGAAUUUGGACCAUUAAAGGAAAUAGCUAAUUGAGUAAGUACAAGACUACCUAAACUGGGAAGUUGGCAGAUCUGUAGGCCAUGUGAUCCCUGGCACAUAAAAGUGGGAACAAUUGCCUUAAAUACAUCUCCAAAUGAGAGAAGAAUUCAACAUCAUCACUCGAUGUAAAUGGAAACAUUGCCCCGACACUACCCAUCACAUUCCCGUAGAUUAUACAUUCCCCCACUCCUGAACUAGGUCAUGACCUUUGCAGGCAAGAGACCACAUCACCAACAUGAAAUUCUACUAUUUCUUCAACCAUGUUUGGGGCUCCAUUAAGCUUCUCAUGCUCCCAUUUUAUUUUUCCACUAGUAGGAUCUACUUCAAUCUUAUCUGAGACGUCUGAGGUAAUCUCACAAAGUAGAUUUCCCAAACAUAUCAGUUCCUGCCACUGUGUGAAAAAUCUACAUGUUAUGCUGCAGUUAGCCAUCUAGGAACCGUAUCAUCAGCAAAUAUGUACAGUUAAUUUUUGUCACAUCUACACUUGCAAUCAUAGAAUGACUCUAACAAGUGAACAAUUGUAGCAUAUCAGUAGAAAUAAACACUUCCGAAAUCAACUAUCCCCAAGUAAAGUUGUUAUCAUUUGAAAGGACCCAGUAAUGGUAGUAUAGUAAGUCAAUUCAGUUGAAACCCAUUGCCUACACACGCCAUGUGUUUUUCCUUACUUAUUUUUAUUAUGUAUUUCAUCACCAUCCCUCGACUCUAUGGCAAAACUCUCAGUUGCAGAUCUAGUAGGUGUGAAAAACUCAGAUUUUUCAUGCCUAUAUUCUGCUCUGCCGGUCAGACUAUCUGGACCAGAAGAAUUGUCUAACAACAACAGACUCAGUAAAUAAACAUGAAUAUCAAAUCUUUAAUGAAAACCCAAAUCAAUGAAUCAAACAAAAACAACAAAAACAAUAAUAAUGAAAUCCCACAAGUGAAAUAUACGCACACAUUGUCCCUACCUUCGUGAGAUAGGGAGGUUCUGAUCCUCAGUUUGAGUACAACAAAUUAAAGUAGAUAAGAAAUCAAAGCACGACAUGAAAAAAUAUAGCAACUAAUAAUAAUAAAAACAAUAACGAUAACAAAAAGAACAACAUACCCCAUGAAAUGGACGUAAAGUGUACGUGGAUCUUAGCCUAUUGUGAUAAAAAGUUUAUUUUUGGAGGACCAUCUAUAACAUAGUAGAGGUUUCCAAUGAUUAAUAACUCGAUCAUGACAGGAUCAAGCUUCUGCUGGUUCUUGUUGGUCCUAUUACGUUCUCGGCUGUGAGAAAGACCUUCGCAUUAUUGACCAUGUUUGAUUCAUCAUUAACCAACUUCAUGAGCUUUAGUUGAUGGAAUAUUAUUAACAAUAAUAUCAUUACGACCCUUAUAUACCUCAGUUGCACUACCAGGGGCUGACUUUUCAUUCAUUCUUAGGUGUCAUAUUUGGCUUUGCUUGUAGAUACUAUGCUUAUGCUUGAUAACGCCCCCAUUACUUCACUGACAAAUAUCUUCUGCACGACAGGCAGAAACUUUAUUGGCUCCAUUUCUUGUCAAAUAAAUACAAUAUUAUUUUUAUUAUUUGACAUGAUUAGCAUUACAGUUGUUUCCACAUUUAGAAACUAAUUUAGUAUAAUUACAUUGUGAAUGGAUAAUUCACAAAGAUUAUGACUUUUUUCGUGAUAUUAGUUGGUUGUGCUAUGAUUUAUAAUGAAACCAAGCACAAAAAAUCCUCUAAAUCCAUGACCUUUAAAUCAACAUCAUAGUCAGUGUUUAGUAAGUAUAGAAUGUAUGUAGACGAUAUCUCAAUCUUUGUAAGGAAGAAAUUAUUUGUAAUGAUCCUCGACUCAAAAAAGUGAAAUACAAGUAAGAUUGAAAAGAAAGAUAACAACAACAAAUAAUUAUUAAGAUUAUUCUCUUGCGAUUCUAAUAAAAUAUCUUUAAUUUAUUUUAUAAAUUUUUAAAGUAGUUAUAUAAUUAUGAGGCAUAAAAUUGUAUUAAAUUUUAUUUUUUUACAUUUUGGCCUUUCAAAUUCUUUUUUUUAAUACAAAAAUUUUAUGGCCUUUCAAAUUCACAAUAUGAUCAAACAAAUUUCUAAUUCACCUAUAUUACCAAAAAGUGUAAUCAAUGGUAUAUCAAUAUAUAAUAUUGGAUAAAUACGAAAACAAUUAGGAUAUUAUGUAAGCCGAAAAAUAAUCAUACAAGUAUGAAUAUCAUCAUAUCGAUUAUAUUCAAUAAUUAGGAUAUUAUGUAAGCCAAAAAAUAACCAUACAAGUAUGAAUAUUAUCAUAUCGAUUAUGUUCAACGACAUUAACAAACAAAUUUAUUCAUCAACAUGUCUACUCAUCAAAACAAACUAAAAAUGAUAACAAUUUGAAACAAUUUUGUGUAAGCUCAAAUAUCAAUUAAAGGUGUGGAGCAACAAUAAUCUCUCUACUUAAAUUUAUUAUCAUCUUCAACACUUAAUUAUUCGUCAUGUAUGAUUAGGUGUCUUUUUUUCUACUUUUACCACCAUCAGUGACGUGUAGUUCUUCCUCGGGCUCUUUCAAGUUACCCAAUGAGACAUCAGCAGAUACCUGUUUAUAUUUGAAUAAGUUAAUUUAUCAACAUAUUUAUUUAUCAUGUUCAACUUUAAAAUGAGUUGAACUCUAUAAUUAAAACAAUAAAUAAAAUUGCUGAAAUAGAAAUCCACAAUCUUAAGAAGCAAAAUAUUUAAAUAACCUGUAUUUCAGGACUCCACUCAGAAUCAAACAACUCCUUGAUGUCCAUUAGAAUCAAAAUCAUCUCUUCCUCAAUCAAAAUGUUAUUAACAUUAGAAUUUUCGAUAAUUUGUACUUUCGUAGACAUGGUUGUAAACUUUUGAACCAAAGAUCUUACUAAUCUAUAUCUAGAUUUACGUAUAUUCUGCUUGCAUGAGUGGUGAAGAAGCUAACUUCACCUAUUAAUAAUAAAUAUAAUAAAAUGUAAGUUUAACAUUUGUUGAAGAAGAUAGCACUUCAAUUCAAAAUAGUGACAACUAAAUUUAGGACAAUUACCAAAAAAUUCUUUCACGGUUGUAGAUGUGACUAUCACUAUGUACGGGCCAACAUCCUUAUUGUACAAGGAAGGAGAAAAUUUUUCACCAAGCUCUUCCCAUAAGGUAAUUUUGACUUUCUCAAAACUAUGCAUGGAAAAAGACAAAGGAAAUUAAAGGUGUAUAAUUGAUAUAAUUAGUCUAAAUUUAAUCAAAAGAAGUUUUUAUACUUUGGUUCUAAUAUGAAGACAUAUACAGAAUUUGGUAAGCUUGUUUUGUUAUAUAUAGAUUUAAGAAAUCACCCUAAAAUCGAGUAAAAGGAAAAACCUGGAAGAAUUUAAAUGCAUAUUUUUUUUAAGUUUCAUGCACUUAAAAUACAUAAGGUGCAUUUAAAUAACACCAAAGAAAAAAAUUAUGAAUGAUAUAUUUUUAAAAAUAAAACUGAUAAGUGAAUAGGUACUUAUAUACAUAUGAAGUUUGGAUACAUAACAUCAAUGAAUGACUAUAAUGAAGAUAUUAAGCGGUUAUCUAGAGAUGAGUGACUUACUAAUCAGUAAUAAUUUUAAUCUUUCUUAUUUUGCCCUUCGAUCCACAAUUUUCUAUAUCACCAAUUUCAUAUAAACAACCAACCACAUCUACAAAUAAAGUGGGUGAAAUAUGACCUUUAAGAAUAAUGUUGUUGUUUUAAUAAUUUAUGCAAUAAUUAAUAAUAAGAAAACUAUAGACCUGAUAACACAAUGUGAUUAUCCACCCUUGAAUCAAUCAUAGUUGGUUUAAUAAACUGAAAUCUAUUUAUAGGAAUAUAAACAAUAUCUUCAGAUAAAUUGUUGAUUACAGUUGAGGCAGACAAAAUGAUUGUCAAUGGACUUUCAAUAGGUCUGUAUGCAAAAGUGCUUUCAACAACUUUGAAAUUUUUUAUGGUAAAUAAAGAACCUUCUUUCAACAUGUCUUUCAGCCUAUUCACUUGAUUUGUAUCCAUUAUACCAUAGAUCAAAUUUUUCUGAUGAAAGAAAGUAAUAAGUGUUAUGUAAACUAAAAGUUUAAAGAAGAAAUGAUGUUUUUAAAAUAAAAAUCAAUGUAAGAAAGUACCUUUUCAUCAAUAAAUAUCAUUUCUACACUGACCCACUUAUCAUUUUUCUUGUGAUUAAUAACAUCCCACAUUCUACAAAGUCUAACCCUUAUCAUGAAAUCAUUUCUGCCAGAAACCAACUGUAAAAGAAAAGAAUAUGUCAUUAUAAAAUCUCAACUAAAUGGUAUACAAUCAAAAAAUAUUACAGUAUGCAAAUAAUUUACUUUCAAUCUAUAUAUAAUGAUAUAAUUAGAGUAUGAAAGGACACAAUAAUAAAAUAGCUAUAUAAUUAUUUAUAAACUAAUAGACAUUAAAGGAUUCCGCAGUUACAAAUGAGGAAUAUGAAACAAAGGAAUAAUGAGGGUCAACAAUAAAUUAGCAAUGCAAUAAUUCAAUGAGUAAUAUACAAUUAAAAUACAAUUAAAGACAUCGAGAGUUAUAAAUGUGGAAGAUGAAGGAACAAGUUUUGUAUUUACUGUCACUAUUUUCUAAUACCCUUUCAUCUUCGGUACUUGAUUUGCAACAUGUCUUUGUUCAUUCAUCUUCAGCUUGAUCAUCUUCUUUUCUUGCAGCCUACGUAGAAAAUCAACAUUAGCAUUGCAAGCUAUAUAGGAAACUUACAAAAUGUUUUAAAACUGCAAUAAAACAUCUCUUGAACUUUUUAAAGCAUUCUGCAUCUAAUAAAACUACUACUACCCAAUCCCAAACAAUUAGUGGUUAACAACAUGAAUCCUCAGUGACCAUGUUAUUCCAUUUAAACUCAUCUCAAGCCAAUAAAAGCAUCUUGCAUCUAAUGAGUUUAAAACAAGAAGCAAGAAGUGUUGAAAAGGCCAUCAAAAGGCCUAUCAUUGUCUUAAUGAAAAGUUCCAAUUCUUUGACAUAUUAUUAUUAUUAAUACCACAAGUUCAUCUAUCUACCCUAUUAUAUAUUUACUUUUACACUCUGGACAUAUGGACUUCUUGUAAAGGAUCACUCUUGAUCUAUGAAUCAUUGUCCCAAUCAUGUUAAAGAAGUCUUUGUCACAAAGGAGUUAUCCUAAAGAAAGAAUGGGGGUAGUUCAUAGACUCCAAAAAAGUAUAGAUGAACUUAGCUGAUAUGAGGUUAAUUGUCAGGAUGCAUUAUCAAAUGCAAAAUAACCUUUCGGGAUUUGAAUAUAAGAAAAACCUUUGUGAGACUUACCCCUUCUGCUUAUACAUAUCACUCACUGAAACACCUUCAGCAGCUGGCGUACCCUCUAAAAUAAGACCCUUCUAUCAUAGAAUAGAAUAAUUUUACGUCCACAUUAUCUUAAAGUAAUCCCUUUUAAAAAGUUUAAUGUCGAGACAAUAUUACCAAUAGAAGCCAACCUUUGCUAGGUAAAGGUUACAUUGGUUAUUACCUUUUUGGUCUUCUGCUAAUCCUUAGCAUAAGCAGCUAUCUUGUCCAAGGUCUUUAAAAUAUUUAAUUGUCGACCCUUCAGAAAGACACCUAAACCAUCCACAGCACUGGCAGCAGAAAUAAUAGUUUUACCAGAUUUGGCUAUUUAAAAUUUGAGAAAUCCUGCACCCCUUGGUCAUCUGUAACAUGCUCCAUAAUCAAUAUCAAAAGGAAGGUUGCUAACGAAAAUUGUCCCCUGAAAAUCAUCUACUCCCUCACUUGGCAUAGCAUUGAUUUGCCUGCCCAUACCUAAAACAUCGUCUAGUACUUUAUUUGGAGUAGAUUCAUCCAGUAGUUCAUUCAAUGGGAGAAGAGUGUCAACUUCCUUUCUCUUCUUUUGGGGGCUUGAAAUAUCAUUUGCUGAAGUAGCUAGCCCUAUUAAAGUUGGAGAGAUGAAGUUUUGGAGAAUUUUUUUGCAAUGAUCGCUUUCUCAUCAAAGUUAACUUCACUUUGGUUAUCUUCUUCUAAAAGGUCAGAGUCAUCAUCAUCCCCUUCAGCUUGCUGAGAUUUUCCAUCAAUGUCAAUGUCUUCAUUCUCUGUAUCACUACCACAAUCAUCUUUUACGCUCUACUCUGCAGAAGCAAUAGUGUAAAUUGAAUUAUUACCGAACUCACGAAACAAUACAUUCAAAAUCUUAAACACAGUAACUGCCACAGUAUUACAACAUAGCCACCAAUAUUUUAGGAAAAAGGAAGAACUAAUUGCAGAAUGAUUUAAAUGAAUAUGAAGUGGCAACCAUUAAGAAGUCAACAUUCAUUACAUCCAGCCUAACAAAUGUUUGAAAAAUAAAAUAGUGAGCCUUAAUCGUAGCCUUAAAAAUUAGAAAAAGGAAAUGGCACACCACCUACACAAUGGUGUUGUAUUUGGCAAUUUUACGAACGAUUUAAGGGAGGUUGGAUAUGUUGAAUAUAGGAAGUGCACUAAAAAGUGAUGAGCGUUGUCCUAUUCUUACUAAUGUACACGUGUAGGCACCAGACAAAUUUGUUGCUGCAACUCGUAGGAACCCAGCCUACAAUUUGUUACAAAAUUUCUAAUGAAAUCGAUGGGGUUCACGCACCUCCAUAACUUCUAAUUUUUUCCAACAUAUAAUUGCGAUAGAAUUCACAUACAGGUCACUCACUCUUGCUACUGCUGAUGCAAGUUGGGGCAGUUUAUACUUUAUUUGCAAUUCUUGGGUUUCUCCUGUUGACAAUUAUCAUUAUGACAGUAUUAUCAAUAGAAGCCAACCUUUUCCACGUAAAGGUUACGAUAGUCAUUAUCAUCCUUUUUUGUCUUCUACAACUCCUUAGCAUGAACAACUAUUUUGUCCAAGGCCUUUAAAAUAUUUAAUUGUUGACCCUUCAGAAAGAUACCUAAACCAUCCAUAGCACUGGCAGAAAAAGCAGCUUUAGCAGAUUCGACUAUUUUAAAUUUGAGAAAUCCUGUACCCAUCGGUCGUCUGUAACAUGCUCCAUAAUCAACUUCAAAAAGAAGGUUGCUAAUGAAAAUUGUCCCCUACAAAUCAUCUACUCCCUCACUUGGCAUAGCAUUGAUCUGUUUUCCCUUACUUAAAACAUCGUCUAGUACUUUAUUUGGAGUAGAUACAUCCAGUGGUUCAUCCAACGGGAGAAGAGUGUCAACUUGCUUUCCCUUCUUUUGGGGGCUUGAAAUAUCAUUGGCUGAAGUAGCUGGCCCUAUUAAAGCUGGAGAUAUAAUGUUUUGGAGAAUUUUUUUUUUGCUAUGCUCACUUCCUCAUCAAAGUUAACUUCAGUUUGGUCUUCUUCUUCUAAAAUGUCAGAAGUUAUCAUUGUCCCCUUCAACUUGCUGAAAUUUUCCAUCAAUGUCAAUGUCUUCAUCCUCCGUAUCACUAUCACUAUCAUCUUUUGCGCUCUGUUUUGCAGAAGCAAUACUGUAAAUUGAAUUAUUCCCAAAAUCAUGAAGCAAUACAUUCAAGAGCUUAAACACGAUAACUGGCAUAGUUUUACAACAUCACCACCAAAAUUUUAGGAAAAAGAAAGAAUAAUUGCAGAACAGUUUAAAUGAAUAUGAAGUGGAAACCAUCAAGAAUUCAACAUUCAUUACAUUCAGCCUAACUAAGGUUUGAAAAAGAAAAUAGCGACCCUUAAUCGUACACUUAAACAUUAGGAAGAGAAAAUGACACAGUACCUACACAAUGGUGUUCUAGUUGUCAAUUUUAAGGUCGAUUUAAGGGAGGUUGGAUAUGUUAAAUAUAUGAAGUGCACUAAAAAGUGAUGAGAGUUGUUCUUUCUUACUAAUGUACAUGUUUAGGCACCAGACAAAUUUGCUGCUGCAACUGGUAGGAACCCAGUCUGCAAUUUGUUACAAAUUUUCUAAUGAAAAUUUAUUUUACUAAAAAUAUGUAACAUAAGCGAUAGAAACACUAUUUGUGAAUAAGCAUGAGAACUUUUUGGUAUUUAGAAAUUGAAUACUGCAUACUAUAGUGAAGAUGCGUUGGCACAAAGUCAAGAAUGCACCCUCUGUAUUUAUCCCUUAGAUACAAUGUUAAAUUAAAUAUCAAAUUUGAAGCUCUUCACCUAUAUAAGAACUUUAGAAAGUUCCCCAAACAUCAACCAUAAUCCAAUAAGGACAAAACUUAAUAAGAACCCAUUACCUGCACUGUGUAGCACUUAUGGCAGCUCGUCCAGCAGAAAAUGAUAGAAAUUUUUGCAGGUCAUGCCAUGCUUCUUUGGGAUAUUGCUUCAGAUUACCACCUAUGGGGUUCACACACCUCCAUAAGUUCUCAUUUUUUCCAACAUAUAAUUGUGAUAGAAUUUAUAUAGAGUGAGUGAAUUCUAUAACAAGUCACUCACUCUUGCUGCUACUGAUCUAAGUCAGCGAAGUUUACACUUUGUUUGCAACUCUUGGCUUUCUCCUGCCGACAAUUAUGAUUAUGACCACAUUUUCUUUGUGAAUCAGGUAUGAUUUAGUAAAAUGUGUUUUUUAGAUUUAGUCAUAUAUUUAUUAUUUGUGACAGGCUUGGCUUCCUAGUGAAACUACAGCAGCAUUGUGCAGCUACAGAGAAGACGAGUUGCUUCAUUUGAGAGGGACUAGAAUAGAAAAGCUUGAGGAAUGGGGCAGGGAUUAUGACUAUGAUAUUCACAAUAAUUUUGGAGAUCCUGGCAGCAGUUCACUGCUUGCCCGACCAGUCCUUGGAGGAUACAAAGAGUAUCCUUAUCCAAGAAGGGGAAGAACCGAAAGACCUCUAUCCAAGACUGGUGGUUAAUCAUUCACUCUUUUUAUAUUUUAGCAGUUUUAUUACUGAUUUUUAUUUCAUUUGAUUUGAUUUUUUACUGCUUUGGAAGAUCCUAAGAGUGUAAUCCGGCUACCUCAGAUAGCAAGCUUUGUAAGUUAUUGCCCAAGGGAUGAAAAAUUUAUUCCCUUAAAGCUAAAAGACGUCCUUAGUAAUAUAAAAAAAGCUAUGGCACAACUCUUUUCUUUUCAGCUUUCUGCUAUAGGAGAUGUGACUCUUAAUGAGUUUAAGAACCUUGAAGAUGUUCUGCAAGUUUAUGAACAGGAGCUCCUGGUUAUAGGAGAUGUCACUUUUAAUGAGUUUAAGAACUUUGAAAAUGUCCUGCAAGUUUAUGAACAGGAGAUCCUGGUUUUCAUAAGUAUCUAAUGUUAAAUUAAAUAUCAAAUUAGAAUAUCUUCACCUAUAUAAGAACUUUAGAAAUUAGGCGUGGCUUUCUAGUGAAACUCUAGUAGCAUUGCGCAGCUACAGAUAGGACGAGUUACUUUAUUUGAGAGGAACUGGAAUCGUAAAGCUUGAGGAAUGGGAUUGGAUUUAUGACUAUGAUAUUUAAAUAAUUUUGAAGAUCCUGACAGCAGUCCACUUCUUGCUCGAUCGAUCCUUGGAGGAUACAAAAAGUAUCCUUAUCCAAGAAGAGGAACAACCAGAAGACCUCCAUCCAAGACUGGUGAUUAAUCUUUCGCUCUUUUUAUGUUAUAGCAGUCUUAUUGCUGAAAUUCUAUCACAAGUCACUCACUCUUGUUGAUCCAAUUCAGGGCAUUUUACAUUUCGUUUGCAAUUCUUGGGUUUCUCAUGCUGACAAUUAUGAUUAUGACUGUAUUUUAUUUGUGAAUCAGGUAUGAGUUAGUAAAAUGUGUUGUUUAGCUUUAGUCAUAUAUUUAUUAAUCAUGACAGGCUUUGCUUCCUAGUGAAACUCUAGCAGCAUUGUGCAGCUACAGAGAGGAUGAGUUGCUUCAUUUGAGAGGAACUGGAAUCGAAAAGCUUCGGGAAUGGGACAGGGUUUAUGACUAUGAUGUUUAUAAUGAUUUUGGAGAUGCCGACAGCAGUCCACUUCUUGCCCGACUAGUCCUUGGAGGAUACAAAGAGUAUCCUUAUCCAAGAAGGAGAAGAACCGGAAGACCUCCAUCCAAGACCGGUAAUUAAUCUUCGCUCUUUUUAUGUUUUAGCAGUUUUAUUGCUGAUUUUUAUUCCAUUUCGUUUGAUCUUUUACUGCUUUGGAAGAUCCUAAGAGUGAAAGUUGGCCACCUCAGAUAGCAAACUUUGAUUUUUUGCUCUUGAAGCUGAAAGACGUCCUUGGUAAUACGCAAAAAGCUAUGGCACAACUCUUUUUUCUUCAGCUUGCUGCUAUCAGAGAUGUCACUCUUAAAGAGUUUAAUAACUUUGAAGACGUUCUGCAAGUUUAUGAACAGGAGCUUCUGGUUUUCUAAGUAUCCAAUGUAAAAUUAAAUAUCAAAUUAGAAGCUCUUCACUUAUAUAAGAACUUUAGAAAGUUCCUCAUACAUCAACCAUAAUCCAAUAAGGCCAAAACUAAGUGAGAACCCAUUACUUGCACUGUGUAGCACUUAUGGCAGCUCGUCCAGCAGAAGAUGUUAGAAAUUUCUACAGGUCAUGCCAUGCUUCUUUGGGAUAUGCUUCAUAUUACCACCGAUGGGAUUCACGCACCUCUAUAGGUUCUCAUUUUUUCCAACAUAUAAUUGCAAAGCACCUAAAUUCCACAUAACUACAACCACCUAAAGCAAACUCCUUUAGCCACAAUUUUGAGAACCUAACAAAGAUAAAGAUAUGCUUAGCUCUUCACCUAUAUAUGAACUUUAGAAGGUUUCCCAAACAUCAACCAUAAAUCCAACAGGACCCAUUUUAUCAGAUAAAUCAAAAACAAAUUUAAAAAAAUCACCUGAUUAAUUGGUUGCAACAUAUUCACAUACGCCAGCAGUUCUUGCUUCUCUCUGGUUUAUCAGAUCAAUCAAACAGAACCCAUAUAAAUGAAAAUCAAUCUAAUAAAAAAAUCACCUGGUUAAUUAUGCUUACAACAAAAUGCCAACGCCAAAAUGAUGAAAUUAGGAAAAGCCGAUAGAGAAAAAGGAGGAAGACCGACGAUUUUGGUGGAUUAAUUGUUUAGAUUGACUAAUGGUGAUUAAUGCUUGGUAAUGAAAAAAUGAUAAUUAAUGGAUUUUAUUAAUUAAAAAAUAGAUGGUAAUAAAUAGAAAUUGAAUAAAAAAACUCAAAAAAAUCAGGAAAAAGAUAAAUAGACUUCCUGAUCAUUAGGACAUGCUACAUCGGCCUCCAAUGAUCCUUUUAUAUAUAGAGAGAGAGAUUUUUAUAUUUAAAAAUAUUAAAAGUAUAAGAGAAAAUCUGAACAAAUUUCAAAAAGGAAAAAAAUCGUAUUUUUCUUCUUCUUCAACCUCGUCAACCUCUUCAUUCCCCGACCUCCUCUUCUUCAGCCCCCCCCUCGACCGCCACUCUCUUCUUCUUUUCAGCUCCUUCUCAGGCACCCCCACCCAUCCUUAACCCCAACCAAUAUCUUCUUCUCAGAUCCCCCCUCCCCCGAGACCCUUCAAUUCAAGAUCUACUCAUCUAUGUGUUUAUAUUACUAGUUUAGGGUACGUGUGUUGCACGUGUAUCAAGCAUUAAUUAAGAAUAUAUAUAUAUAUAUAUAUAUAUAUAUAUGCUCCAUUCCAUUUUAUGUGUUGCUUUUUGACCGGAUAAGGAGUUUAAAAAAUUAGUGAUGACUUUGUAAAGUUUACAAAAUUGCUCCGAUCUUAAAUUUUAUCUUUUAGUUGUCUUUUCUUAUUAAGUGGGACCCAGUACGGAUAAAAUAAAGAUGUUGCCAUUAAAUAGUAACUAAAUAAGGAAAUGUGACAUUCUUUUUGGGACAGACUAAAAAGAAAAUGACGACACAUAAAAUGAGAUGGAGGAAGUAUAUGUUAUUCGAUUAAGUACAAUUUUUAAAAAAUAUUGAAGAUAAAAAAGUGCACUUAAUUAAAAAGAAACAUGAUAAAUCACUGUCACACUAAUAAUUAAGGAGCAAAAUUAGAUGUGGCAAAAAAUAUAAUCCCCGCUUAAAUUUAUAUUUAGUCUUUUUCUAUAGAAGUUGAGAUGAUACAAAUUAAUGACAAUCAAAGUUUAGACACUAUUAGAUAAUACUAGAAUAAAGUCACGUGCGUUGCACGUGUAUUAAAUACUUUAAAGAUAGACGUAUAUAAAAAAAAUAUAAUAGAUGUGCGUCAAUUAUUUUAUUAAGUACAGAAAAUUUUAAAAAAAGAAUGUACAAUUUUCUUGUAUGUCUGCUAUUUUAUUGAGUAUAAAAAAAAGAAGACAACGUCAAAUUUUAAGAUUAAAAAAUACCCUUAUAGUUGAUUAAAGAUAAAUUUAGUCAUGUAUAUACUUAGUAAAAAUAAAUUAAAAAUUCUAUAGUUAAGUUAAUGAGAUGAUUGAUAAUAAUAGAAAAUAUAUCAUUUAAUUUAAAAAUUUGAACAUAUUUAAAAUACUUUAUAUAAAUUAAUACUAAGUAGAGAAUCUAUACAAAAAAAUUUCUUAACUUUUUCAAUGUAAUAUCGAUUCUCCUCAUAAUUAAUGCUUCUUGAUUACUACUAAUUAGCAUAAAUUAUUAGUAACUUUUCUUUUUUAACUAAAAAAUAUGAGUGCAUAAUGAAAGGGCCAGGUCCAAAAGUGACCUGACCCAAAGAAAAUUAAACAAAUUUCCAUCAGACAACAUGAGAAAUUGAAAGCCAAUUUUGAAAACUGGAGAAGCCAAGAAGCUUCUUGACCAACAAUUCCUCAGCUUCCAAACUUUCCAGUCUUCAAGUUCUUGACCAAGCUAAACUUUUGGCUGUAAUGUCUUUUCCUCUGAACUAAGUUUUUAAUACAAUGGCAAGAAUUUUCUAGUGGGAUUUGCAAAUAAUAUCCCCUGAAAUAAUCUGACUAUCAUUGGGGGGGGAGGGUGUAGGGCAUAUAUAAAGGGAAAAACAUAAAUGCCUCAAACUGACAGGAGUUUUGAGAUAUUGGUUAGUGAACUUUGUUUAUCUCCGUCGCAAUAAUUGAUACUUCAUAUCUGAUAGAUCUUUCCUUCUGCAGUGGGAUACGACCCAGUUUACUAAUGAGAAUAUAGAGCUUAAGCUCCGUCUGCAAAAUAUGGCACAACAAGCUCAGUUACGUGAUGGUAUGAUUAUCUUUUUCAUCUUUUCCAUUGCCUUUUAGAAUUUUAUGUUUCAAUGCUAUACUAAAAGGAGAAAUUGACUUUCAAAGUGAUCCAUGGCCAUCAAUAUCAAAUAGUUCCAAGGACCUUAUUUGGAAAAUGCUAACACAAGAGCCAAAGAAGAGAAUUACUUCACCGCAAGUUCUUGGUAUUUCUCUUGUUUCCCUUUGUAAUCAAAAGUUAUAGUAGCAGGCCAUGUCAUCUCGUUCUGCAUAUACAUAUUUGAUUAUAUGUUAUAAGUUGUAUUCAUGUUUAGCUUUUGUAUGUAUUUAGCAUAACUUCCAAGUAUAUGCUACAUGCUCUUUCAAGGUAGGAAACUACCAAGAUGAGUUGUUUUGUGAUGUGAUACCUAUGCAAGCGUAUCACUUAUUAUUGGGGAGAUCAUCGCAAUAUGGUAGGGCUACCGUGCAUGAUGGAAGAACCAAUAGGUACAUGUUUGUCUAAACAGACCUUAAUGAAAUCACUGUCUUGAUUACAGCAGAUCCAAAUACAUGAUCUUUUUCCAUAAUGUAUAGCUUGUUUCUCAGUAUUGGGUUGGAUAGAUUAUGGAUCCUUACUUCAAUAACAUACAAUGUGUUUUGGUGAUGGCAAUUGUCGAGGAGAAUGACCUGAUUAAUGAAUGUCUGACAUUGAAUUAGGAAGAUCGAUGAGUAAAAUGGAUGAGAGUUAUGGGUUUGGAAGAUUCUUACCAAAGUGAAAGACAAGUUUUAUAGAAUAAUGGUGUGACCAGUCAUGUUAUAUGAGAGUGAAUGUUAUGUCUCUAAUAUGUAAUGUGUCCACAACAUGAAUGUUACAGAAAUGUGGAUGUUAAAAUAGAUAUGCGGUCAUACAAUUCUGGACAUAAAAUAGACAACUAUAUAACCGUAGUUGCUUCAGCAACUACGAUAAUUGCUGCAAUAAUUACUAUUAGUUGUUAUAUUACAGCAACUGCCGAAGUUGCUGCAGGGAUCUUUAUGUAAAUAUGGGGUAGAAUUUUUUGUAAAAAUAAUAAAAGUUGAGUGUUUUAAAAUUAGUAUAUUAGCACUAAUCUUAAAAUUGUCACCAUUAAUUAAUUUGCCUGGAUGAAAUAGUUGUAGUAGUUCAAUUUGAAUUGAAUUACUGGAUAAGCGAUGAAAUCAUCUUUGAAAUUAAAAAUGGGAAGAGGGUUGGGUUCGCAAAAUCUGCCAGCGGACGUGACACAAGUGAUCGAUCAGUUAGAGCGACAUUACUUAGCCCCUGAUGGAUCUCUCAUCUCCAAAUCCGCUUACUACGAUCUCCAACAAGUAAGUGUUUAAGAUAAAAUCGCGGGAUACUUAUCCGAGAUUGUAUUUAAUGUUAUUUUUUUCCCACACUGAGGAUGGGAUAGAAAUCCUAGGAUAACUAAACUGAUUCCGUGAUAAUUACACGUGGCAGCUUGUAAUUGGUCAAAAAAAUCAAAUUUCAGCCCUUUCACGCACCUGUGGCGCGUGUGUACACGUAUAGGGUCAAAAUGGUGUGUUUGCAAUGAAAUAAAGAAGAACCGUAGGAUAUUAGGUCAAAGUAAGUUUAGGUGUCUUUUUGCAAAUCUCGGACAAGAUCAGCGGUGUAAUUUUGUAUUUUCUCUAUUUAUUAGUUUAAUUAAUAAAUAUAAAAAUUAGAUAUCCUAUAAUUUUUUUAUCUAUUAAAAUACUUGUAUUUUAUAACUUUUAUUAACAAAACUGUACGUUAAUAUAACAUUAUUUGUACAAAUUUUGACAAUACUUAUUCAAUGAUACAAUUAAAAAGAUUUUAUUUUAAAACUAUCUUUAGAAUGUUGAUUUAUCUUCAAAGAAUUAAAAUAUUUUUUUUUUAAGAAAAUAAUAUCAUACAUGUAUGUGUUUUGAAGAAUUUAUCUUAUUUAUCACUCUUUUUUUAUGUAUCUUUUUGGAAGAUAAAUGCAAUAUUAUGAAAUAUUUUAUGAAAAUAUCAACUAAAUUUUUUUAUGUAAAGAGUCUUCAUUUGAUAAUCUAAUCUAUUAAUAAAUUGAUAUUUUUCCAUUAAAUAAUCUAUAAAGAAAAUUGGGUUGUGCACAUAUAAAAAAGGUUAAGAUAUGAGUAAUAUAUUAUGUAUUCAUUUAAAUUAAAAUUAAGAACUAAUUAAUGUUGUCACAUCAUUUUUUCGAUGAAAUUAUUGUAAAAUUCGAUCAUAAUGACUUUGUGAUGGUCGGAGUAUAGUUAAAUGACUAUGGAUGAAAUGAAGGAAAGAAAAGUAACUUUUGCGUAAUAGAAAUAAAGUUAAGUGACCAUGAAUGAAAUUUAUCCCAAAUAAAUACUACUCCCUCCAUUUCAAAAAAAUAACUUACUUUGAUUUGAUAUAAAAUUUAAGAAAAUAAAGAGGAUUUUUGAAUUUUAUGAUGUUAAAUUAAAAUUGUGUCAAAUAUAUCAAAAUAUCCUUUAAUCUUGUGGUUCUAAAUAUUAAAGUAUUGCAAAAAAAAUCAUUCUUUUUCAAAUAAUUAAAAAGAAAAAUAUAUCAUUCUUUUUCAAAACGGAGGGAGUAAAUGUAAAUGUGAGUCAAACACACACACUUUAUCCACUUUAAUAAAUAGUAGUUGAUUAAAUUAAAUUUAGUGUAAUAAUGAUAGUGAUUUAGCUUAAAGAAGACUUAUGAGCCUCUCCUGCAACGUUGGGGAUCUGGGACAAAGAGACAAGAGAGUAUUUAACGAUGUCCGCCCGCCUUAUUAGCUCCCAUAUUAGUCUUCCAGAUCCAUCUCUGCCCCCCUCUCAUCUCCUAUCUUAACAUUACAGAUACCUCUUUCCCUUUCACCCCCAUUUCCUAUUUCAUUCAUCUUCAUUUCUAAUCAUUCAUUUUUUAUUCUGCUUCUGCCCUUCCUCCCACCCCUGCAUGCACUUAGGGAGGGCACCGACCUGUUUUUAUUUUCUUUUCAUUUGUUGUUGAUUCAAUUUAUCCUGAUAUUUUUUCGUAGAUCCAUAAUUAUAAAAUUUGAGCGUUUUCAUGCAUGUUUAAGUAAUUGUCGGUGUUGUUAGUUCUGAUUUGUGAUCUUCCUCGUACCGUGCGCAAGUGGAAGUGGAAGCUUUAGUGCAUCGGGCUGCGUUUUUCUUCUUUUCAUUUGUUGUUGAUUCAGUUUCUCCUGAAGUUUUUUUCGUAGAUUGAUAAUUGUAAAUUUUGAGUUUUUUUUUUUAAAUUGUCGGUGUUGUUAGUUUUAAUCUGUAAGUUUCUGUAUUUUUGCGGAAAUGAGUUGUUGAUUGUUGAGAUUUUUGUAGAUCUAAUGUUUGAUUUGAUAAUUUAUUGGUGGAUUUGGGAUAUGAAUUGAUCUAUGGCUAAUGUUAGUUGAAUUUUAGCGGAGAAAAAGAGGUGGACUCUAAAUCUGACUGUUUUUGUUUUAGAUCCGUGUAAGAUCAUGAUUUUGUUGAUGUAAUUGCUUAUAUAAUUUCGUUGUUUUCUGUGUCUAAUUAAUGAUUCUUACCAUUUUUCCUAAUUAUGUGUUCAUCGGUGCAUAUUUGAUUGAAUUCUGGCGUUAUAUAUAAACAAUAUCGUAUGAUCGAAUUCUGGCGUUAUAUACAAACAAUACCAUAGGUGAAUAUGGCUUAUCAGGUUAUAGUAGCAAUAAAAGUAGAAGGAACCGUGGGGCAUAGGCAACAUGCGCUAAAUCUUAUAUCUUUCUUGGGAAUCCUUUCUUUGACUAAAACUUUAUCCUGUUCCUGUGUCAGAAUACAUGAAAGUCUGCUCCUUUUUUAUGUAUUACAUUUAGGAAUGGAGGUCUGGUGGUUGUUAUUUUGCUCAUAAUUUUGUAUAUGCUAUCAGUUUUUUUGUGGAUAUUACUGCCGGACAAGUGUUUGCUGAACAGGUUCAGAGAACUACAAUAUAUAAACACAAUUAAUGAAUCUACCUAAGUGCUUUAAUACCAAGCUUGUCUGCAUGAAUCCUCUACAUUCUUUCUGCACUACUCAGAUCCAUUUUAUCCUCUAAAAUGCAUUCAAACUUUUGUCAAUUUUGUGCAUAUUUCUCUACGUGUUAUGGAUUUGCGUUUAUGUUGUGAUUAGUACUGGAAGUCAUGAACUUUUUUAUCUCUUGCAGAUUGGAACGAAGGAAAAUGGUUAAUAUUUGUUGUAUAGGAGCUGGAUAUGUUGGGGGGCCCACCAUGGCCGUCAUAGCACUCAAAUGCCCUUCUAUUGAAGUGAUUGUUUUUGAUAUUUUUGUGCCUCGUAUCACAGCCUGGAAUAGCGACCAGCUUCCUAUCUAUGAGCCAGGCCUUGAGGAUAAAGUCAAGGAGUAUCGAGGCAGGAACCUCUUCUUCAGCACAGAUGUGUAGAAACAUGUGAGGGAGGCUGAUAUCAUUUUUGUUUCUGUGAACACUCCUACCAAGACAAGGGGUCUUGGAGCAGGCAAGGCUGCAGAUCUAACUUAUUGGGAGAGUGCUGCCCGCAUGAUAGCGGAUGUCUCAAAAUCUGAUAAAAUUGUUGUUGAGAAAUCAACUGUUCCUGUCAAAACCGCUGAGGCAAUUGAAAAGAUUUUGACACACAACAGCAAGGGCGUUAACUUCCAGAUCCUCUCAAACCCCGAGUUUCUUACAGAAGGUACUGCAAUCGAAGACCUGUUUAAGCCUGACAGGGUCCUAAUAGGAGGUCGGGAAACUCCAGGUGGCCAGAAGGCUAUCCAAGCAUUGAAGGAUGUUUAUGCCCAAUGGAUCCCUGAAGAGCGCAUCCUUACCACCAAUUUGUGGUCUGCUGACCUCUCAAAAUUGGCCGCCAAUGCAUUUUUGGCCCAAAGAAUCUCUUCCGGGAAUGCCAUGUCGGCUCUUUGUGAGGCUACUGGAGCAAAUGUUUCUCAGGUGUCAUAUACUGUUGGAAAGGACUCAAGGAUUGGUCCCAAGUUCCUUAAUGCUAGUGUUGGUUUUGGUGGUUCUUGCUUCCAGAAGGAUAUUCUGAAUCUGGUUUGCAUUUGUGAGUGCAAUGGUCUUCCAGAGGUGGCUGAAUACUGGAAACAGGUUAUCAAGAUCAAUGACUAUCAGAAGACUCAUUUUGUCAACCGUGUUGUUGCCUCCAUGUUCAACACGGUGUCAGGUAAGAAAGUCGGCAUUCUAGGUUUUGCUUUCAAGAAGGAUACUGGUGAUACUCGGGAGACCCCUGCAAUUGAUGUUUGCAAGGGACUGCUGGGGGACAAGGCUAAUUUGAGCAUAUACGACCCUCAGGUAAAUGAGGACCAAAUUCAGAGAGACCUCUCAAUGAACAAGUUUGAUUGGGAUCAUCCUCUUCACCUUCAGCCAAUGAGUCCAACAACCAUGAAGCAAGUUAGCAUUGUUUGGGAUACCUAUACGGCAACAAAGGAUGCCCAUGCUGUCUGCAUACUUACAGAGUGGGAUAAAUUUAAGACUCUUGAUUAUAAGAAGAUAUAUGGCAACAUGCAGUCGGUUACAUGCUAAAUGUGAUAAGUUAGCCGAUGCAGUUGCUAUUGAUGACAUUGGUAUGUUUAAUUGCUAAUUUCUCCUCCUUUAUCUUUCCUUGGUCCUUUGCCUUUAAAUAUGUUGGUCUCCAAAUUUUAAUCUGUUUCGUCUUAAACAAAACUAGUAUUGAACAUAAGACCUGGCCAUCUAGCCAGUUUUAUAAUUAGCUUCUAUAAGCAUAUCAUUAUGUGAAUGUAAACAGGAAAUAUAUUUCAACUAAUUAAAAAUGUAAAUAGAAACAAACAAUUAAAACUGUAAAAGUUACAUAUCAUUUUUUUCUCCACAACAAUUACACUUUUGGCACCCGCAGCAUGUAGGGAGCCAUUUUUGGAUGAUAUUUGGGCUUUCUUUCCUUUGUCCCUCAGCAAUUGGUAUUAUUGGUAUUAUUCGUUAUUCCAAUAGCGAAUAUACUGUUGCCAUAAGGAUUCACUAAUCCUUUUAGGUCGUACCAAGUUGGUUCGGACAUAAUCCAACAGAACGUUAUUGUGCAUCUCCAGAACCUGCGAAUAUGAAUAUUUGAGGUGAGUUAGUAAUAAUAUAGUGAGAGGUGUAAAACCUAUUUUGUAUUAGGUAAUUUGAUGUGUUGUAUCUUACCUAAUAUUUCUUUGUAGACGAUGUUUUUGGUGUAUGUUCCUUUUUUUCUCUUUGGCUGCUCUGUCAUGACCAAAACCUUUGUUGUUUAAAUUGAUAUUCCUCUUGAGAUUGCAACGUAUAGCUGUCUAUGUGAAAAAACAUGUUGUGGCAAGUACAAUCCCACAGUUGGUAUAGUUGGUAUUGUUUGUCCCUGUGCUUUGUUAAUUGUCAUUGAAAAGCAUAAUCUUACUGGAAAUUGUUUUCUAAUGAACUUGAAUGGGUAACCUUCAUUUUCGGGAGGCGAAAGCUGAAUUCGUGGGAUAAGCACAUGCUUGAAAGCAUUUUGCCCAAUCAUUAUUUCUGCAUGUAUGACGUUUUUGUCAAAACCUCUACAUAUCAUUAUUGUGUCACUACAUAAGCCAUUGGAAGCAUCCAAAUUUCUUAAUAACAUGAUAGGCGUAUUUUUUUUCAAAACCAAUCUGCAAAUCAAUAAAAUGUUAUGAGAAUGAUAAUGUUGAGAAUUAUUUUUAACAAUAAGUUUCAACCAAAUAUUGCAAAAUAAGGUGCAGGCAGACUCUAGCUCAUAUUCAAUAUCAGGUUUGUGCUAGAAGAAUCAGGAUGUCAGAGGAGAAUCAGGUGCUCCAGAGGCAACUCAGAUAGAAGCAUGAGUUCACUUUCUUGUACGCUCAACUAAAGGUUAGCAUUAUAUAUUAUCAGUUUAUUUAGUAGUUGUUCCAUGCUUUUACCUUCUUAAAAUUUGGAUUCCUAGUUCUAUUUUGCACAUCAAUUGUAUGUGUUUGAUCUGGUACUUUUUUGUUUCAUGAAUAAUUAGAUUGUGCACUUUAGGAAGUCAUAUGUGGUAUUUGGUUAUCAACUUUAGGAAGUCAUAUGUGGUAUUUGGUUAUCACUUUGAUGUAAAUGUUUCAUAUGCUACAUAAUCAAUAUUUCUGUGCUUUUCUGUAUAUGAGGAAGAAAGUAGCUGGGUAUGAGUAGAUAUGUAAACAAAGAGCAAUGUAAUAAUUAUUGGGGAAGGAGACAUGCCCAUAUACUUAAGGGAGGCUAGAGAAAAAGUGAACCUAUUUUCACAUUUUGUUAGAAUGCCUAAAUUUGUGUUGUUGCCUGGAAUGCUACUGAAUUAUCCAAAAUAGGUAAUAUGAUUCUAGUAAGAGAUGUUUUUUAGUUGGAAAGUAAAUUUUUGCUUUCUUAAUGGAAUUUAUGUAGCUUUAGGAAUAUACUGCCACUUUGAUAUAAGUUUGAAUAAUAUAUGUAAGAACAUACCUGUGUGGAGGGAGACCGUUUGGUGUGAGAGUAUUUAAGUAAUCUUCCUGAUAAUAAUUGUUAGUAUCAUCUUCUGCAGAGUUGAAACUCAGAAACGUUCUACUUUCACCUAGAAAUCUGAAAUGAAUUUCGUUUAGUUGAUCAACGUAUUCAUUUCUGCUUGCUAGAAUAGCCCGUUCUGUCAUGUAUUUUGCACAACUUGCAUUUUUAUCCAUAGAUGGAAAAUAUAUGUUCUACCAAUGUAUCUUCUCACCAGUACUACUGCUCGUAUUUUGAAUAACCAUUUCUUUUGGAAGAAAUUCCAAAUCAUCUCUUAUUGUAGGCUCUUCUCCAUUACCUAUACGCAGUAAGAGUAAGAAUUCACUGAAAGAUGGAUCUGCUCUUGCUCUCAUAUUUCUUGUUAACUUAAUCCUUUCCAUAUGAUUCCAUAAGUAUGAUUUUACCAAACUUGCAUUUACCGUUUCAGCCUUUGUAGAUUUUGGAAUUACUGGAAGUACUUGACGAAAAUCUCCUCCGAAAACCAUUACUUUUCCACCAAACGGUUUAUUAAUGUCCAGUAUAUCUCUGAAGCUCCUAUCAACUGUUUCAAUUAUCCGACGGCUGGCCAUAGGCGCUUCGUCCCAAAUAAUCAGGGCUUUAUGAAUCAAUUUAGCUCCACCGCUUUGCUUUGACAUACGUGUGACAGUCGCAUCAGUUGUCUGAAGCGGUAUCUCAAAUCUAGAAUGAGCUGUAUGACCUCCUGAUAAAAGAGUCGCUGCUACACCACUUGUUGUCGUUGCUAAUGCUAUCAUGCCUCUUGAUCUAAUAUUUGCAAGUAGUGCACGAUAUAAGAAAGUUUUUCCGGUCCCUCCAGGUCCAUCGACAAAGAAUAAUCCUGAUUGUCCAGACUCUAUCCUUUCCAAUAUGAUCUUGAAUGCUUGUUCUUGUUCAGGAUUUAUCUUUGUUUGUGCAUCCUAGUCUUUUGGAGACACUAUUAUAGAUUUUUCUUCACGUAUUUCUCUGCAUUCCAAUAUAAUUCCAUCAUCCAACCUCUGCUCAAGUUUAGGAAUGUAAUAGUUUUCAAUUCUCUUACCCAUGCUCUCUAAGAAAUGAUUUAUGCUUUUCAAUGUGCAUUGAAGUUGAGCAGUAGGCGAAUUUUCAUGUAUUCUUUUAAAAUCUUCCGACAUAUCAUCAUAAUAUGUAUCCCAGAGUAUUCUAACAUCCGUCGGAUUACAAUGAACCAAAAUUGUUGCAAAUAAAUUUCUCAAAGCUGAUGGCAUUUUAAAGACUACGGCCUCACGUAAGCAUUCAGAAAUACUGUUAUCUGAUUCCAGUAAACCUCUUUCUUUUGCAGCUUCCUUGAAUGUUUCGCACCUCCUUCCAUUAACAGAUAGCAAGUUUUCAAAUGAUGUCGGUCCUAGUACGUGAUUCAAUAACAAUCUCAAAUAGUAUAUUUCACCUUUUGUUGGGUUAGCUGUGACAUUAAAAUAGAAAGACUUAAGUAAAUUGAAUUUAAGCAUAAAAAAUAUUAAAAGUAAUAGAAAGACUUAAGUAAAUUGAAUUUAAGCAUAAAAAAUAUUAAAAGUAAUAGAAAGACUUAAGUAAAUUGAAUUUAAGCAUAAAAAAUAUUAAAAGUAAUAGAAAGACUUAAGUAAAUUGAAUUUAAGCAUAAAAAAUAUUAAAAGUGAUUCUAUUGGAUGCCUUACCAACAGCAAUUCGACCAAUAACAAAUCUUGAUUUUCUUGGUGUCCAUAUCUUACCCAGUAUAGAUAUUUUCGCGCUUCGCUAUCAACCGAACAUCUUCGAAAAUAUUUUGUGAGCAUGGUUUGUGAGGCGUAUUCCCAUGCAACAAUAUAUUUUUCAAAUUUUGAUUGCUCCAAUAGCACACUACAAUAUGAAAAACUAUAUUAGGAAUAAUAAUAAUUGACAAACAAAUAUAUGUAAAUAUGCAUAUACUUAAUGGUUAUUUUUGCAUGUAGGGAAUGAUUUUAAUGAGUUAUACUCACUAUCUGACAACUAUUUGUUCAUUGUUUUUCUUAGCUUUUGAAAUUUUCAUUUAAUAUAUAUAUAUAUAUAUAUAUGUAUAUAUAUAUAUAUUGAACAUGGCUAAUCUGUAUGUUAGAUAAGUUAAUGACAUGACUGGCCGAUGUUUGCUCGAAUAUAUAUAUAUAUCACGAGUAAUGUUGAUGUGAUUUUUCAGAAAAAUAGUACCAUUUAUAAUCAAGCAAACAACAUGUACUAAUUAGAGAUCAUAAUGGUACAAUUACAUAAUUUUGAAAUAGAUUUAUUAGUCAAAAAUGAAUAGUCGAUAAUUUUGUUGCAACUUGCCUAUAAAAUAACAUGUCAAUUCCAAACAAAUUGGUAGAGAGAAUAUUAGGUAAAAUUCAUACUAACUUAACUAUCAUUUUGUUUUCUUUCACAAAAAUCAUGUACUAAUUUUUCUAACACAAAAAUAAAAUAACUUUGAUUAAACUAACACAAAAUUCACAUUGUCAGAAUAUAGUAGUUAUGAACCAACUCUUUUAUCUUUUUUCUUUUUAAAUUUAAUAAAUAAAGUUUAAAAAAUAUCAUCCAACCUAGGUCGAUUAGAAACCCAUUUGAAAUGUCAAUUAAAUUAUUUACAUUUCAAACAAUUGCAAUUCUCAAUCCAAAUUAAUAUAUUCAUCAUAAGUUAAAUUGGUAUAAUUGUUGGAUAUAUAUAGCUUACCUAUUUGUUUAUUGGGAGAUGAAGUUGAAGGUUAAUGAUGGGAGGCUGCAUUUCACUGAGAUUGAAUUCAUAAAUUCUUCAUAGUGCUUCUAGUGCAGUCACCCAUCGUGCAUCUUGAAAGCUGCUAAUUUCAUCGAUAACUUUUUCUCCAUCAUCCGAUUCGAUAUAAACAGCACACCUAUCAUGACCUUUAUAUAUGUACUUGUAGAGAUACUUUAUUGCUUUUACUCCCGAACAAAACUCUACGUUGAUGUGACAAUUACAUCUGGUAAGCAAAUAAGGAUUAUAUGAAACAACCCACUGAUUGUUCAUUGUCAUGCCUCGGACCUUUUCCCUUUUCCCAUCAUUUCGCCUCUUAUAAAUAGGAUAUCCAUCCUUUCCUUGUAGCGAUUUAUUACUAAAUGGCCGAGGAUAGUGAUUCUUGCAUUGUCCAUCUUUCAUACAUAAAUUUGCUGGACGACUCUUUCCACAAGGACCAUGCAUCAUAUGCUUGACAACCAAAUCAUGCAAGAUUGGAAAUUCUUCUUUAUUCGGAAGUUCAGCGGCAAUAAACUUGUCAUAAUCGUCCGUCGAUGUUAUCUUGUUUCCUUGUUCAAGUAUCAAUAAAAGGUGUAUGUGUGGUAGUCCUCUUUUUUGAAAUUCAACCACAAAAACAUGUGCUGCAACAGGACCAAAUAUCUUUUUCUUGAAUAUCUGAUCUUUUAAAUCUUGUAGCUUUGCUCUAAAGACUCUAGUCACCAAAUCAGGUCUGUCUUGAGGAAGUUGUCCUUCUAACAAAUUUUCUUUUAUCUCCACCCAAUCGGGAUUAUAUGUCAUUGUGAUAAAUAGAUCUGGCUUUUCAAAAUGUUGAACCAAAGACAUUGCAUCCAUAUAUCUACGACACAUGUCCCUAGGACCUCCGACAAAUGAUGCUGGAAGUAUUACUCUUUGGCCUACUUUAGCUCCUUUAAUUUCUCCUGCCAGAAUACUGUCAAAUAUGCCCUGUAAAAUUUUCCUUCUAAGAUUUGAUUGCUCCAAUCUAAAAUAUUCAAGUCGUGUUUCCAUCUUGAUGUACGUGUCAACAACAAAUUGUUGGGACAAUCGUCUGCACAAUAACAUUAUCGUGUCUUCUCCGUGACGUAUUUGCAGCUUAUAGCAGUAGUACUCUCUAUAUGAGACACAAUGUUUACCUCCUCGUCGUACACCUGGAAAAUUUUUUAAAAACAUUGAUAUGAAAAUUUUAAUUACCAAAAUAUAAGAUUCUGUGUAAAUUUAUUUCAAAACUAUACCUUGUUGUUCAUUGUCAAGCACCUCAUCAGCGAAUGCAAAUGUAGAAAUAUUUUGAUUGAGGCUUGCAACUCCGAUCCCAUGUGAACCUUUUUUUGUUUUAUGUUGUUUUUGUAUUCCUUGGUGCCAACCUGAUUCACCAUUUAGGAAAAGUAGAGAAUACUGGAGUGGGUCAUAACAGCCAUAAUAAUGUUUAACUCUAUGUAUAUUGCCUGAGUGCUCAUGAACAAUAAUUUCUCUAUCAAAUGGUACAUUGGGAUUGUUGCCAUCUAUCCAAAUAGCAGCAACUUGAUCUACUGAUGGUUUGUUGUAGACACGUUGAUCUAGUUUGGCAUUUGAAGCAAUUCGAAUUUCUAAAUUCUGAAAGCUUGAAUGAUCUUUUAGCUGGCAAAAAAAUUGUGCAUAAGGAUUAACAUCCAUUAUCUGUCUUAUUAUUGCCACAACUUCUUCGGAUAAAUUGGCUUCUUUGAGUUUUGAUCCUAUUGCAUACCUCAUUUUUCGUGUCAAAAAAGUACAACUGAAAAUAACGUGGAGUAUCAUCAUGUGGAAUUAAAGAGGGUAGAUCAUGAUAUAUUUGACCUUGUUCUCAAAAGGUAUAAACUCCUUGUCUUGAAGAUGUCAGAUCAUUAUCGAGUUGAACACCAAAAGAUGUAAAUGAAAAAAUGUUGUUAUAUCCUCUAAUGUGUUUACGAAAUUCUUGUGCUCCUUUCGAUCGUGAGAAAAAUAAAUCGUAGAGUUGAGUUGGAACUACAACAUUUGCAAGCUUGAUUGAUCCACCGUCGCAAUAGAAAGUCGGUAUUUCAUGUUCAAACCUCAUAGCCUGAUAAUGUGUGCAUGGAGGAACAUUUUUCAACUUGUGAACAGACAAAAUUAAUGGUAUGUAGUCAAUUUCACCUAAAUUUAUGGAGACAAAUUUCAAAAAAAAAAAAUUAAUAAUAAAUAGCACAAAUAGAACGGAUAUAUCUGUAAUUAAUAAAUUAGUAUUGCAUUACCUUCAAUAUCAUAUCGUUCGGAAAGAGCUUUCAAGAAUCAAUUUAUUCUGCAAUUUUUUAGAGGUCUUUGUUCUUCAAUAUCAAGAUAUUUUGCGGAUUGACCCCUUUUGUUGGCUGCAAAGAGAAGCAAACACUACAUGUGUUAAUGCUACACUUAAAAGUGUGGGAAAAGUCGAAGAUACACUUAAGAGAUCAACAAUUUCACACAAAACCUCUGCAGACUUGUUGAUAAUUUUCGAGAAAAUAUUGGGCUCAUAGUUAUAUAUUUUGGUAUAACAACUGAGUAGCAUGGGAUAGAAAUUGAAAUGUCACAACAUUUCCUCAAUUUGAAUGAUAUAGGUGGAAAAAGAGACCCCUAACUUCCAUACACAUUGUUUCAACAACAUCCAACAUUAAGUACGAUUAUGUAUACUUUUCCAUAUAUAUAUAAAAACUAAACACUUGUUUCACAUUUUGAACUGUUAACUUUUGCACUUUAGUACGCUUAUGUAUUGAUUAUGUGGGAUUUCUGUUCUGCUUAUUUUCUUUCUAUCUUUUUGACAAAGCCUCAACGAACUUAUUUUUUGCGAAUUAUCAGGGUUCAAAGCUUGCCAUGACAAUAUUUUACAAGCACGAUUGAUUGGUAAGUUGUAUUCUCUUUUACUGAUUGCACGUUAUGGCUCGUAAAACAUCACUAUUUAAUGUAGACAGUUAUGUGAGUUUUAUGAAUGUGGAGUUCCCUGUGGUAUUCUUUAUGGUUGUGGUGAUCUAAAGAUAGUUUGAACCACUAUAGAAUAUAAGAAAGGAAAACUAACUGGAAUAGAACAAAUCAAUUGUUGUAAGGAAAUAAUGUGGCCAUUUUAUUUGUUGUUUGAGAGGAAAAAGUAAAUAUAAAUUGUGAGCUAGUUAGUACCUGAAUUUAUUAGUUCACUUUCUUGUUCGUGAGCAUUGUUGAUUCCAUCAGUUAAGAUUGUUGUAUUUGCAGCAAUAUAUUUGUUAUACCGUCGAAUGGUUCGGGAAAUUUUUUCUUGAUCUAUAUUGAAAAAUUAACAAAUUUUUUUACUAUAGUUGUAUACAAUAGGCUAAAAUAUAAUGAGUUUAUUAAUUUUAUAUCUACCUUGUGCCAUGUAUGUAAUAAACAAUAUCCUGCAAUAUACAAUAAGUGAUUAAUAACAUAUAUCGUAAUUAAAUAAAAGCAGACAUUAUAUAAUUAGAUCAAAUUGGAAGCACGCAUUUAGCAAAUGUUAAUAACAAAUAUUAGUUGAUAUGCCAACAAAAGUUGCUUAUAUGGUUUAAAAUAUCGAAAUUCUAAAUAAGCGAUAACCAUCUAGAACUUAAAACUAUUUAAGCUUAACCUAAACAAAAAAGUAGCUAGAUUUAGAAUGAAAAACAAGGUGGUCUCUUUUCAUAGAGAAUAAAGCAUCACAAAUCCUUUUCAAGUUUGACCCUUUUAGGAGCUAUUGGGUCUUCAGUGGCAUCCUCGUGGAUUCUAUCCUUUUGGGUCUUCUUGAUUGUAUUUUUUGACUCUGUUUCUUCAUCUAGUACGUCAACUACAAUAGGGUUUUUAACUUUGUGUACUUCUUCACCAAUGAAGCGUCGUGCAGCUUGAUUUCUGGCAUAUUUUGCAUCAAGCCUGACAAGAAAUGUGUAUUCUUUUUUGGCACUUGGCAUAAAGGUACGAUAAAAAUGGGGAUUCUUCAUUCUGUAUCAAAGAAGAGUUUAUGAGUAAGAAAAAUAAAUCUGUAUUUAGGACUGUUUCUAUUAAGAAAGCUUUUUAGAAUUGAAAGAAGCAAGUAAAAAUGAAAAAAAGGACAUAAACAUAGAUGCUAACUGAACUUAAUAUUUAUUAUUAGGACCUUUUUUGAUGUAUAACAUUUGUAUGCCGUUUAGACACCUAGAAUAGGUAAAAAAUUUUGAUGAUUUACGCUCUAGAACAGUAGGAUAAUUGUUAUUAUCUCCUCUUCACUUCUAAUUUUUAUGCUUUUAUUCCCACAAAGCAUAAUGACGAUUAAGAUUUCGAUAUUAGACACAAGAUAUACUUAUAAUGAGGAAAUUUAGCGACCUCUAUUUUAAGAAAGAAAAAAGGAUCAAUGAAUCUUGUUAUUUUUUAAAUAUAGAAAACAGUUGCAAGUAGAGAAUAAAUUACCUUUUCUGAUAUUGAUUGUAUGUACGAUGACACAUCGCAACCAAUCAAGUAUCGUGCAGCUUCAAACAAUGUAACAAUACAUCUAUCAAUUUCUGUACUAUCAGCAGUCUUUGCAAAAACAUCUAGUUUUAGAAGAAACCUAGAAAUAGAAAACAUUAAAUAGGAAAUGAUUAGCCCAUAAUUUGAUUUUAAAAAUUGCUGAAAAUAAAUUUGAAUCUUUUUGUGGGUUACCUUUCCUCAUAACCACUUAUUUUCAUGAGGCAGUAAGGAUACUUUAAAUCGCUACGCUCAAUCUUUUUGUAGCAUUUGGUGCAAGAUGCAUAGUACGGAUCGUCGAGAUUUCGUAUAUUUCGUAUAGUUUUGAUUGUUGCAUUGAAUUUACAAUAUUUAAGCUACAAAUAGAAAUAUAGAAGAGGUUAGGAGUGAGAAUUUUGAAACACAUAAAUUUUAUGAAGUAAUUAAAGAACAGUACCUCAUUAUCGAACAAACGACCCGAUAUAUGCAAUUGUCAAUGUUUUAACUGUGUUAAUUUGUAUACUUGGUAGUAGAGUAAUGUUUGGGUGUUUUUUCUUUUCAAAUAAAGACCUGCAAGGUAUUUAGUUAGUACAGCAUGAUAAGUACAUAUUUAGUGUUCAUUAAUAAGAAUGUGUGAAUAUAUAUUACCAUCUUCAAAUGAAGCGAACUUGUUUGAAAAGGCAACUGUAGAGAAAGGACUUCUGCAUUCUUGAACAAUGGUGCCGUCGAUGAAUUCAAUCUCGAUUUCUUUAUUCGCGGAGAGGAAAUUAGGAUUGGCGGGAGUAAUGUGGUUGUUCAUAAUAUAACAAAACUGGCCUUGUUCUAAUAAUGUUUCCCAUUUUUUUAUUGACUCGUUGAAAAGUAUAGCACCAAGUUUUCUGCCCUAAAAUAUUGUAGAGGUGUUAAUUUUAAUGGCUGAAAAAUGAAUGCGAAAAAAAAAAUUAAAGACGAAGUAAGAAAAGAAAAAUUCUUACCUCUUCAUCAACUAACUUAAGAAGCUUUCGAGUACCGGUUGUUUCUCUAUUAUAUUCUUUUAUUGGGCCACUUCCUAUGAUCAACACUUUUAUUAUGGACAUGCGAUCAGAUGGCUUCAAUGCACUAAUUGGAACCACUUCGGUAAUUGCAUCCGUUGCCAUAGUAGUCUAAAAAAAGAGUUAGAAUAACAUUAAUGCAUGACUUAGAUGAAUAUAAACUGAUGAGUUAAGUAGAUUGUACUUGAAUAUGUGAGUUGUCUUCGUAUAUUUAAUAAAAACAACAAAUGAUACAACUUAAAUCAGUAAGAACAUAAAUUCAACUAAUAACACAAAUUAGAUCGAUUACGAAUAUAAGCUAAAUUGUUGGCAUAGCAAUUAAUAUUGUAUUUAAAUUAUUAAUGGACAAAAAACAAUCGACAAAGAAGCUAAGUGAAUUGACAAAGAGAACUAAAAAAAGAGAACGGAACCUCGAGAUGAGACAAAAUUGAGAAUAAUUGUGGAUGAAAGAAAAAUAUGAUGAGGACAGUAAAAAAGCAAAAUUAACAUGGGUUUUAUAGAAGUUGGUAAAGAAUACCUAUUUUGUAUGGGAUAAGAAUUGUUUUAAUCCUAUUUUGUAUUAAAAAAAAAAAGGGUUGAUGGAGUCCGGGAGAACAAAUAAUAAAGACGAAAAUAUUUUUGUUUUUUAAAUUUGGCAAGAAGCGUAGAAAGAUGGAAAAAUUUGUUAUUAAAACACAACAAUUUAAUAAGUAGUUUGGGACAAAAAGUGGCUAGGAUAUUAAAUUUGUUAAAUAAAUAUUUUUUUUAAUUUUGGCAAGAAAGCGGCGGAAAGAUUGUUAAUUUGUUAAAUAAACAUAUUUUUAAAUUUUGGCAAGAAAGAUUGCUUUCUUUUUUUAAUUUAAAUCUGAGUUUCAAGAUGGAACAAGGGAUUUUAUUUUUUAAAAUAAAAUUAUUUUGAAUAUUUAGAUUUGGGUUUUAUCCUGUCCUCUUUUAGUUAGGACUGAUUUAUUUUUUCGGAAGGAAAGGUAUCCUGAUUUUGUAAGGAAAGUUUUUUUUAAAAAAAUAGUAUUAAAAUAAUAAGAGAAUUGUGAAAAGUCAAUUUGUCUAAAGUGGAGACUUUUAAUGAAGGGCAAAAAGUUCAAACAACAUUUUUAAGGUCUUUCACACUUUUAAUAUAUUAUAGAUAGAUUAUAGAUUUAGUCAUUAUACAUUUUUUUCUAAUUCUAAUAGCACUUUGAUUUAACAGAAAUUUAUUUUUAUUUUAAAGAUUUUAUAUUUUUAUUAAAAUCGAGGGCAUAUUAUGCAUUUAUUAAUAAAAGCAUAUUAGAGUUUGAUUUGCAUUGUACUUUUAAAUUUUUCCUUUGGUUAUAGGAUAAAAUAUUAGAACUCAUUCGUUGUUAGCAAGACACAAAAAGAAACUGUUGCCUCCAUUUUUCAUAUUUAUUUAUUUUUGGUAAAAUUUGACAUUUAUAUAUAUUGAAAUUGAUCAAUUAGAAAAGUGUUAAGAAAGUUACUAAGCUCCUCUAUAUUCUGGUCCGUUUAGUAAGAGGAGUUUUAUAGGUUUUGAUUCUUGCAUAUCAAUUCAGAUAUUAUUUUCAAUGUCUUUCCUGCUUCACUCGACUUCUUCAAUAAUAAAAUUAUUGUCGGAUCAAAUUAGCGAAUAAGGUGAUGCGUGGAUAUUAAGAUAAAAUAAUUACAUUACUAUUCACUUUUAAGAUUUUUAAAAAUCAAUUAUUAAAAUUCAUUAACUUGUUUAUUUGAUUACAUUAGUUGGAUAUUAUUAGAAAACUUUCCUAAAUCUAAUAUUAAAUGUUAUUUCUAUUUUGUAUAUAGAUAUUCAGUUGUAUUUUUAAUUUAUUUGUGUUGACUUUGUACCAAAGCAAAUAUUUAUUUUUGAUUAUUUUCUAUUAAAAGCAAAUCAAAUAUCACAAAUUAACAUAAAAUACAAAAUAUGAACCAAAAUAAACAAAAAAAACAAGAAAAUAAAAGGUACAAAAAUUAAGAUCCCUUUUUGAAAAGUUCAUUAUAAAAUGUCCAAAUACCUCUUUGAUGAAAGUUAAAUAGGUCAUUAUAAAAUGUUCAACUUCUUCACUUAUUCUAUUUUUUAUCGAUGUUUGAGAGAUUCUCUGGGUCUUCUUUGCACUGUUACGUAAGCUUUUUUUCUUUUUUUCUCUUUUAUUUUCCUUUUCUGAUUUGAGCAUGCUUGUGAAACCCGAGCUUGAUGUAGCUGAGAGUGAAAAUGAUCUUGAAUUACCAAAUAUUUGAUGAUCUAUUUGAUUCUUUCAGUAUCUUCUUGUUCCUUUCUGUUGUUGUAUUGUUGAAUUCAUGGCAAAUAUCAUGUCGUUUCUAACUAAAAAUGAUGUAAUGUGUCAUUAUUUGUUGUUGUUUUCUUAUUUUUGUGUCGUUUGUUGUUGUUUUGAUUAUCGUAUAACCUUGCAUGCAUUUUAAAAUUUUCAAUAGUUCUGUCCUUUCAAAUCCAUUUAUGUCUGAUCUAAAAUAUGAAGAAAUAACAAUAAGAACUGAAAUAUGAAGAAAUAACAAUAAGAACAAAGAAAAGAAGGAAACGACAAUAUGAGGAUUGCAAGUUGGACAAAAAAUUUAUUCAUAGAUAUGUUGUUGUUGACCAGUUUAAACACAGUAAGUUUACCUAUUCAUAUAACUUUUUGAUUUCCACUUUUAAAGUGAUUAACUAAUGUAGAUUUUAAUUGAAAUAUAUUUUGUAAGCAUGUAGUUUUGAAGAUGAGAAAGUUAUAAUUAUGAAAUGUUGCACUUUGUUUUAUGGUAUAUAACAAUUUGGUCUGCUGAAUUUGUUGUAUAUAUGUUUCAUGUCCUGUAAACACAUUUCAAUUUUCUAUUUAUUAACUUCAUCAUAUUUUGUAGCAUUCAAUUUGUGCUCAUGUUGGAGCAAGUAUGCAGCAUCGUGGCUUUGCUAAAUGUGAGCAGGUUAAGAAAAUGUUAUAGGAUUUUGAGAGAUAAAAAAUGCUUUCUUAGUUUAAAAAAGAAUGACCUACUUUGACUUGGCACAAAGUUUAAGAAAAUAAAGAAGAUUUUUGAAUCUUGUGGCAUUAAAUUAAAGUAGUGUCAAAUGUACCAUAAUACCCUUUAAUCUUGUGGUCCUAAACAUGUCAUGUGGAAAGUUAAAAUUAAAGUAUUGUCAAAAAAAGGAAAAAGAUCAUUCCUUUUUAAACACACUAAAAAGAAAGGUAGGUCAUUCUUUUUUAAACGGAGGGAGUAAUUCUUUUAGUGAAUAAGGAACACAAUUACAAUACCUGGUAUUUUUCUUCAUUCUUUGAAAUGGCUUUUUAAUGAGCUUGUUUAAAUUUUUGGAUUCAUAUAUAUCGAUUAAGAUUAUCAAUAGCUUUUAUGAGUCAACUGAGACUCUUCCUUAGAGUUUCGGUACUAACCUCUCGAUCUCCGAUUCAUGCUUAUAUGCAACUUUACUUUUUCGUUUGUUAGUUAUAAAUUAGUCAUUUGUUAUUUUCUGCAGAUGAGUGUAGAUCAGUUUGCUUCACAAUCUUUCUCUUCAUUAAGUCUCUUCAUAAAUAUCCAAAAUUCAAGCAUAGAAUUUGAAAGCAGUGUUUAAUUCGUCACAUAGAGAAGUGUACCUUACCACCAUGGUUAACAGUAAGAAUCUUUAUCUAUGCAAUCGAUUAUAUGAAUCAUACAUAUGUAUAUGUCCACACAAAUAUAAUAACUAUUGUGUUUUGAAUUAUGUGGUGCUCAAGCUCCCACAUCCACUACAACUUGUGCAUUGAGGUUUCAAGCAUUCAAAAGGCUUAAUAAGAAAAAAAUUAAAGAAUACAUAAUUAUGCACUAAACAACAAAUUGCAUUCUCAAAUAUAAUCGAUUAUUACUAAAUAUGUAAAAACAUACUUGUGUGGAGGCAGACCGCUUGAUGUUAGACUUGUGUACUAUUUUUUAUUUCUUACUAUUGUUUUAUAUUUUUUUUCUUUAAAAAAAAGGGCACAUAUCAAAUAUUGACACUUUGCUUUUAAUAAAGAUCUAUUUUUAUUCUUAAGAUGGCACAUUGUUACCAUAUUUAGUAUAGGUUGUUUGUGUUGUAUGGACAUUUAACAUAGUGUAUUUAUUUUUGUAAGCAGAUGAAUAAUGAAGCUUUAUUGCUACACUUAUCUAUCAUUUGAGUGUCUGAAGUGUAUGGACUUUUUAACCUUUAUAGUCCGUGAUAAUUUUUUUCUUGCAUGUGUUGAAUAGGUUGCUAGAAUUUGUUUAGAGCGUGGUGUUAAAUUUGAGCAAUACUAUUAUCAAAUUACUUGUUCUACAUGUCAAUUAAAUUUCUCAAUAAAUUUUUCAAUAGGUACAGUAACUUUCUCCUUUCUUUCUUUUUAAUUGCAAUGGAAUUUCUCCAUGUUCCUGUUCUUGCUUGCAAGUUUCAACAGUGGUUGUGUUCUUAUUCCUGUGUAUAUAUUUUUCGAUUAAUUUUGCUCAUACCUUCUUUUAUUUUGUAUUCAUCGGUUUUUCCUUUCUGGACUUCUUCUGGAUGUUGUCGAUGCUUCUCAAUUUAGCAAUUCAAUGACAUUUUCGGGUAAAAUUUAUGAGUAUAACUGAAAGGCGAUAACAAUAAAGUAAUAGAUGAUGGUAGUAAUUGUCAACCGUAUAGUAGUUUGGAGUGUUGCAUAGCUACUAAGAAAAUUGUAUUUGUUUUAAGAUUGUUCUACCUUUAAUGACAAAUUUAAUAUAGCAUUUUCAAAAUCUUGAGUGAUUUGACAUGUUAUUAUAAAGUUAUUGAUGAGUAAAGGGUUAGAUCAGACUUUAUUUCUACAUAAAAGCAGGCUACUUGGGGGUUCUAACUUCCUAUAGAGAAUUUGUAGCACACACUUUGAUCCCUAUAGGGAAUGAGCAAGAAUGAAAUGAGAUGAUAAGGCGCCUCGGCCUCCCCCAUUUUAGAAGAAACUGCAUCCAAGACGAAUGUUCUAUGUGUUCUUUGAGCGGCCUUAUUUCAUAAAUAAAAGAAAAGAGCUAGGAUUUCCUGAUGCUACAUAGGAACAAAUAUAGAAAGUUAUUAUAGACCAAAAAAUUAUUGUUAGUAGAAUCUGAACUAUAUUAUUGCACUUUGUUGAUCAAAAAUAGAUAAUUUGAACCAAAAUAUCAUCUUGAAAAUUGAAACUUUGAAAGCAGAAAGCGCAUUUACAUAAUAAAAAAUAUUAUUAAUUCAUCAUGACAAACUAUUUGAUGCACACACAGAUUUUGAAUCGAUCAAAUUUUAAAUGGACAAUAAAUUCAAAGUGUACCUGUUGAAGAUAGAAAAUAAUGUGAAGAAUAGAGUGUAUUAGCGGAUACAUGGGUUCUCGAUACUCAAUGAUGUGAGCAUGUGAUAUUUUGUGCUUUUGAGUUAUUCCAUCUGGGUAACUAAUAAAUUGAAUCGAAUUGAAAAAGAAAGCACCAAUGUGUGGGUUAAUGUUGUUUAAGAUCUAAUCAAACGUCUUUGAAAAUAGUUAAGUUGUAUUUUUAAGACCAAAUGAGUUUCAUUGAUUAAUUAACAUAAAAAUGGAUAGGCACAAAAUGAUUGGUGAUAAAACAAAUCUUGUACUUAGUUUUCUGAGUUAAUAACUUAAAUGGUCACUCAACUUAUGACUUUUCUCUCAAAAAGUCACUCAACUUUAUUUUUUACUUCAAAAGUCACUCAACUUAGGGCUCUUCUCUUAGAAAGUCACUCAACUUUGAUUUCUACUUCAAAAGUCACUCAACUAUUAGUAUUUUACUUACAAAGUCACUCAACCUAUUUAAUUAAUUUUUUAAAAUUAAAAUUUGCUAACAUCAAAUUUUAUUAAAAACCAAAAUUCUAAAAGAAAUUUUAAAAAAUCAUUUGAAUCAUAUUGUUACAUAUUUUCAUGUUUACUUUAUAUUUAACACUAUGAAAUUUUAAAAUAUCCUUAAAAGUUUAUAUCAAUUCACUUAUAAUAUUAAUAGUAAUUUUUAAGAUUUUCAGAAUUAUAUUCAUUUAGAUAAUUAGAUUUAAUUAACUUUCAAUGUGAUACUUAUUUACGAAAUUGAUUUUCCAAUCAUAAUGCAACUUUUUGUAUCACCACUUGUGUAAUAUACAGAUGUAUCAAAUAAAUACAGUGAAUUCUAGUCCUAAUAAGUUGAUAAAAGGGAACGGUAUAGAUUUUAAACUGAAAUGAUAUAAUAUAAAACAUUAGCAACUGUUAUUAAACAUUAGUAACAUUAUAACAUAUACACUGCAACAAGGUAAAAUUAGCAGUAAAAAUUGUACAAUCAAAUGAUUGUGAUUUUAGGAUAUUAAUUGAUGAUCUAUAUGACUAUAUAUACUUUAGAGUAUAGAGUAAUCAUUGGACAAGAAAACUGCGAAAAAUAGUUGUAAAACUAAAAUUCUAAGAAAUAAAAAAGAUAUACAUUUAAAUUCUUUAAAUGAAUUUUGGAUAUGAGUGGGUCAUUAAAUUGAUUGUUUAAGUGAAAAUCAUUUUUGCUUCUUAAAAAUAUUGUUUUAAAUAUAAAUUACAUGUUUGCAAAUUUUAACGAAAAAAAUCAAUUAAAAUGGAGUAACUUUGUAAGUAAGAAACUCAUACUUGAGUGACUUUUGGAGUAAAAACUUAAGUUGAGUGACUUUCUGAGAAAAGAACUCAUAGUUGAGUGACCUUUAGAAUAAAAAUCAAAGUUGAGUGACUUUCUGAGAGAAAAUUCAAAAGUUGAGUGACCAUUUGAGUUAUUAACUCUUAGUUUUCUAUUCUAAAGUUUGUUCAUCUCUUGCUCGGUAGAUUGAAGUGAGUAAGAUUUUUAUUAACAUUAUAAACAGUAACUAUUGUACUGUUGUGGGCUGAUUUGACGAAUUAUAAUUUAUGUUCAAGAGAUAUAUGCAUAAUUCUCAUGUGUCCUUUGUUGCUUCUAGUUAUUGGCUAAAAGAACAAAGAUCAAACAUCUUUUGUUUCCUUGUGCGCAGAAGUUCUUACCAAAGUUUAUGGAACUCAAAAAUAAAAUAUAUAUCAUUGUGUAGCAUUUGAAGUGUCUAAACUCUACUCAAGUAGGGCACUACCUUGUAAUUUAGAGGAUCUGUAUAAGGAAACGAUGAAAAUAUCCAGAGAAGUUACUGAUGCUACUGAGUGAGUGUUCAGAGUAUAUACGCAGUGAUAAAAUUUUUACCUUUCCCAAUUUAGUUAGAGUUGAUGAAGAAGACCUGGAAACAAAUAAGGCAAUUUUCUUCUUUUCAGGUUUGUGUUCCUCGUCCUUCGUCCUCAUCGUCAUCUUUUUCUCUUGAUUUUCUUCUUUCUCUAGACAAUUACAUUUUCAGUUCUUGAUGCUUAUUACUCUAGAAGUUGUUUGCUCUUCAUCACAGUUUGAUAUGAUCAGCCAACAUUAGACAAAGUUGAUGAAGAAGACCUGUAAACAAUAAAGAUCUGUAAUAGUUUGUCUGCUCUUCAUUAUGGUUCAGUAUCAUUAGUUCAUAUAUUUUUAAUUUCAACAGGCACACAUUUUUUUUCUUUGAGUUCUCGAUUCUUGGUACUGUAGUAGUUUGUCUGCUCUUCAUCAAAAUUUAAUAUGAUUGAUUCAUAUAUUAUUAAUUUCAACAAACACAAAACAUGAGUUCAAGGAAACUAAGUUUUCAAAAAGCUAAAACAGAGAACAUUAGACGAAGUUGACAAAGAAGACAUGGAAACAAACCAUGCAAUUUUCUUCAUUCCAGAUUUGUCUUCAUUCCUUUUCACCCUUGUCCUCGUCUUUCUCUUGGACUUCUUUUUUUUUAUGGUUAGCUUUUCAAUUCUCGGUCCUUAUUACUGUAGUAGUUGUCUACUCUUCCUCAUAGUUUAAUAUGAUUAGUUCAUAUAUUUUUAAUUUCAACAGGUAUGGAGUUAAGAAAAUUAAGUUUGCAGGAAGCUAAAGAAGAGAACAUUACAGAGUUGAUGAAGAAGACCUGAAAACAAACACAACUCAUAAAAGACAAAAAUAGAAUUUUCAAAAAUUUCAUUAUUUACAUGAAGUACCUGGAAACAAACAAAGUUGGAGAUUGCUGGAGAUUUAGAUAAAACACAAAGCUAGUGAAGAAGACCUCGAAAUUGGAGCUCUUUUUAUGGAAGAGUUUGAAAAUUGACAAAAGCAGAAUUCAUAAUAAUUUGUAUUUGGACAAAGAAAGGACUCUGAAAUAGUUGUUUUGCCAAAAUAAAGCUACGAUUUAUUUUUUAAAAAAAUAUAACAUUAUUAUUGUUGUAAUGUAAUAUAUUAGUAGUGUUUGAGUAUAAUUAUAACUUUGUUAUCAAAAUAAGACUGUAUAACCUAAAGAACUACGACAGUUGCACUUUUUUUAGACCAAGUAUAAUUUAGUUAGAAAUAUGUGUUAUAAUCAAUAUUUAAUAUAAAAAAAAUAAUAGAAAAAGGUGAAAAGACCAUUUUGUCUAAAGUAAAUAUUUUUAAUGAAGGAUAAAAAGUUCAAACGAUAUUUGUAAGGCUUCACACUUUUAAUAUAACUAGUUUAGGAUACGUGCGUUGCACGUGAAUUUUUAUUCUUACAAAAAAAAUACAUAAAUAUAUAAUUAUAAGAAUGAAUUGUGUGUAAUAUAAAUUAAUGCUUAAAUAAAUAUAAUAUUCAUUUAAAUGAAGAGAUAAUAUUAAUACAUUGACACAAAAUUUGUAUUCCAAGUAAAUUGAAUAUUUUUUGAAUUUGCAAGGACAAUGAAUAUAUAUUAUUUAGUUAAUUAUAUAGUAUAUGUCCCUGGCUAAUGUGGAAAAUGACUAAAUAUGUGUGUUAUAUAUUUCAUCAAAAUAAAAUAAAAAAAAGAUACUCAUAUUAUUUUCAAUAUCUCUAUCUAAAAAAACAAACAAAUAUAAUAACUAAAAUAUAAAUUAUUAAGAUUAAUACCUUCAUCAAAUACUCUAUCUUGCAAACUUAACAAAUUUUAAAAAACAGAAGAUUCACAUUUACAAAAAUCUAAUCUAAAAAACUUUUUUUCCUCUAGAAAAUAUCUAUAUAAUAAAUAAAUAAAUAUAAUAAUUAAAAUAUGAAUGAUUAAGAAAACCUUCAUCAAAUACUUUGGUUACAUGCCUUUUGUUCAAAAAAUUUCUAUUCAAAAAAUAAAUAAAUAUAACAAUUAAAAUAUGAAUGAUUAAGAUUAAGACCUUCAUCAAAUACUCUGUUGACACACCUUAACAAAUUUUUAAAAAGAAAAGAUCUAGAUCUACAAAAAGUAUAGUUCAAAAACUUUUGCUCCUCUAGAAAAUCUCUAUCCAAAGAUUAAAGAAAUAUAAUAAUUAAAAUCUGAAUAAUUAAGAUUAAAACCUUCAUCAAAUACUUUGGACACAGACCUUAACAUUAAAACAAAAAAUGUUCAACUCCUUGUUAUCCUUUCUGCAACUUUAGUCUCCAAGCUCCCUUUUGCUCCAACAACUUCUUCGUGACCAUCAUACACUUUUUUCACGUGAAUAAAGAAAUAUGUUCAUUAGUUAGAAGUCCAAACUUUUAGGAAAAAAAUAUAAUCAAAAUCGAGUUUCAAUUAAACGUAGAAAGAAACAAAAACAAUCUAUCUAAAAGAUAAUGUCAUAAAGUUAUCCUCAACCAUUGUUUUGUUUUUCUGCUUUCUAAAGCUAAUGUUUCUGUAAAGUUGUAGAAAUUCCUUGUCAAUUCUACAGUCAAUAUGUUCACAUCCCUAAAUAUGAUUUAUAACUUUGUGUUAAAAAUUGUAAUGCAAUACAAAAUUAAUAUUAUCAAACUUAAUCGAUUUACAUUAUAAAGUACAAGUACAAAUCCAUUUGAAAGACAUCAACAGAAAUUGUCUAUGAAGUUGAUAGUAAUUAGUUAUUGUACAUUUCAAGAACAUACAAAGAUUUUUAAAAACUUACCUCAAAUCACAAACAAAUUUGUAUCUUUAAUCAUAAGAUAUACUCCAUCCGUUUCAAAAAGAAUGACCUGCUUUCCUUUUUAGUCCGUUUAAAAAAGAAUGACCUCUUUCCUUUUUUGGCAAUACUUUAAUUUCAACUUUCCAUCUGACAUGUUUAUGACCACAAGAUUAGACAUUUUUGUACAUUUGACACUACUUUAAUUUAAAACCACAAGAUUCAAAAGUCUUCUUUAUUUUCUUAAACUUUGUACCAAGUCAAAGUAGAUCAUUUUUUUUUUAAAACGGAGGGAAUAUCAAGAUUCCAUAAAAAACUUCGCAAUUAGCAACUUUCUCAAAAAUACAUAAUGAUUUAUUUAUUGUAAACUUCAAGUACAUACUAAAAGUAUAGAUAACUUACCUCAAAUCUCAAACAAAUUUAUUUCUUUAAUCAUAGAUACUAUCAAGAUUAUAAAUAUCAAGAACAUGCUAAAAUUUUAGAAAACUUACCUUAAAUCAUAAACAAAUUUAUCUCUUUAAUCAUAGAUGCUAUAGUCACCCUAGAGCCCUAAAGCCAUCACUAUAGUCAACAUAUUAGAAUUUGAAUUCAUCAAUCAACUGUAAGGUACUACGUAAAUUGUAAAAAUAUAACAAAACUUAUCCUCCAUAAUAAACUAUGUUUUCUUCUCAAUUUAAGCAUUUAAGAUUAAUUUUUAAGUAUAGACAUACUUCAGGAUCCAUCCAUCUAUAAGUUUCGAUCUAUGUUGUCACAACAUUGAUUUUUACCUUCACCCUGACAACACCAAAAUCAACCACUUUAAUGACCUUAAAAGAGACAUUAGGUAAAAUUUUAUGCUAUAUUGAUCUUGACUAAGCUAACAAAAGAUACAACAUGAAUGUAAUAUUUUUGCGUACUCAAUUAGAAAAUACAAAGCCUUAAAAAAAGGUAUAUUGGAUAAUUUAAUACUUAGUCAAUCAUCAUUGAGUGAUUCUCUUGAAAAAAUUACUACAUGAUACCAUAUAUAAUAGUUGUACCUUUGUUGCACACAUUCUUUGUAAUGCAAAGGUCUCUUAGUAUAUCAAUAUAUAUUCCCACCUAGUUCUUUUGGCCUUCUCACCAUUAAAAUAGAGAAUGAUCAUCUGAAAUCACAGUACUAAAUCACAUCAACUCCGAUAUAAUAUAGAUUUUCUGCAUUCAUAAACAUAGUCAAGAUUUCAUACAUUAAAGAAUAUGAACUUAAAAAGAAAAUAUAAAUCUUUCCUGAAGAAAAAAAAACGAAAAACAAUUCGAGUGCUUUCUAUAUAAAACAAACACGAGAAAUAAUUCUUUCUCUAUAUAUAUACAUAGAUAUAUAACAAAUUAUAAACAUAUACUUGAUAAGUAACAGGGUAAGAAUCAGAGAAUGCUCUGGCAACACUUCUGCUGCAUCCAUUAACGUUAUUCCUACAAAAUAUUGAGCUAAAAUAACUUAAAACAGAUUAAAAAGAGGUGAAUAUUUAGAAAACACAAGCAUAAGUAAACCAAAUAAACUUCACUAACUAAAAUAAAUUAUAACUCAUUGAAAAUAAACAAAUAAGCACAAUACUAAAAAUUUAUAAACUCAAUUUUUUGAACGAUGAUAAAACUAAGUUGUGAGAAAAUAUUGAGUUGUUGACAUAAGCUCAGCAGAUCACGAAUCCAUGAAGACUUCGCCCAAUUUUGUCUCUCACAAGACCCCUUGUUCGCAAAUUACAUUACAAUUCGUCAAUUAUGAUAAGUACAGAUGUGAAAGACGAUGGUAAGCAGACUGUUGUUUUUCAUGAUGAGAUUCAUUCAGAUGUGAAACACGAUGAUAGUAAACAAGCUCUUGUUGAGAUUCAUGCAGAUCAUGUGAAACACGAUGAUAGUAAACAGAUUCAUGUUGAGAUUCAUGCAGAUGUGAAAGACGAUGGUAAGCAGACAGUUGUUUCUCAUGUUGAGAUUCAUUCAGAUGUGAAACAUACUCAACAUGAUGGAGAUGAAGAAGAUGAAGAAACUUUAGAGGAGGAGCUUCCUUAUAUACCUGAGUUGAAAGACUUCUACAAUCUGCUUUGAGUUUAUAAUUUGAAUCCGACAGUUGAAACCGCAGACCUAUAUACAAUUUUCUCGUUGUUUGAAACGGUGAUAACUGCUCAAGUUUUUAAAGAUGACAAGACUGGAUAUAGCCUCUGCUAUGGUUACGUUGAGUUCCAGGACAAGUUGGACUAUGUGCAAACAUAUUUUACAUGAAUGAUUGGGAUUUUAUUGCUAGUCAAAAGGUACAUAAGGUUAGGAGUUCUUUUUAUAUUAGGAGACAUUUUUUUAUCAUUUCUUUCAAUAUAUUUUAAAAUUUAUAUAUUUAUUUCUUUCCUUAUAUUUAUUUUAUUAAAUUUAUAAUUUAAAUAAGAUAUGCAAAAAAAAUAAUUUUACCUAGAGAAAAUUUUUUUAAUGAUAGAUAAAAUAUUUAUAAACCCUUCACACUUUAAAGAUAACAGAGAGAUAUAUAUAAUAUAGAUAUAGAUACGCACCAAUGAAUAGUCACGAAGGAUUUAAAAUAGUGUGUUCUAUGGAUUUAAGGGUUCAGUUGAGUUGACAGAGGUGAGUUCAGAAUACAAACAACAUACAAGGGUCUACUAAAAAGACUGUUUAAAAUCAGUAUAAGUUCUUCAACAAGAGGAGAGAGAUCUGAAUUUGGUGAUACUGAAAAAUCAUGGCUUCAAGUUCAACGAAAAACAGUCCGUUAUUACCCAUGACGACGGAUAUCGAUUCACCACCGCCGCGGACGGAGGAGAAGCUCUUCAAAGGAUCGGCCAUGACCAAACGCGGUGCUUAUGCUGCUAUCUCUUACAUGUCCUGUGCUGGUAUACAUACUUCCUCUUUCUUCCUUCCUAAUUUUUCUCCUUAUUUAUUUUCCAAUCUCUUCCCGUUGACUUAGCCAAAUUGCGUUUUUCAAAGUAUGCUUGAGGAAUGUGCGUCCUUCUGUAAUUGUUUUCAUUUUUCAAUUUUCUUCCAAUACUUUGAAACUUUUUGAAAUUGCAAUUUUUAGAGCUAGAAAUACAGUUGAAUUAUCUGUUUGAUUCAAAUUGAGAGGUUAUUUAUUGAUAGCGAGUUGAGUGAUUCGUCGUGGAACCAAGUGUGUUAGUUAAACGGUUGAAUUUUGCCCUUCUCCAUCACUUCGAAGAAACUAGUAUUGCGAUCAUUUAGAGCCAGCACGGGUAUUGCUUCUAUCCGUUCUAUUCAAAUCAAAAGUUUAUUUUGUGGAUGGCAAGUUGAGUAAUUCAUCAUGGAAUAAAGUAUUAUUCCAAAUUGUAUUAAGAGUUGUGCUCUGAUUCAUGUUUGGUGUUACUGAUGGGAAGUUCUCUCACUGACUGGGUCAUUAUUGCUUAGUUGUAUUCCACUGUCUGGUCAGCUAGCUGAAUGGGAUUAAAAUUUGUUGAACUAAUUAAUAUUGGUGGAACUUAGAUUUGGUUAGGUUGAAUCUAAUAAUUUGUUGACUCAUGUAGAAGCUAAACAUGUCAACUUUGCUAGUUGGUUGUAGCCCCAUAAAUCAAUUUUUGGUUAAAAAAUGGAAAGUUCAACUAUUCUGCUGUCCUUUGACAAAAACUUCUUUUGUUUUAUCUUUACUUUGUAUCGUUAUUCUUUUUGCUAUCUCUUCUUUCAAAUUUUUAAGAAGACGUAAAACAAUAAAUCAAUCAUAAGAAAACGGAAGGUUGUCCACAUAACAAAUUUAUUGUAGAAUUAGCAGUUGUGCUUAUUAGUUGAUGAAGAUUCUGAUGGUGUGGAAUCCAUUUUCACUUCUGAAGGCUUGGGUGCAAUGCUUCAAUCUUCAAGAGCAAACCGUUCAUCCAUGUACCAUGUUUAAAUUUUCACUGUUAUUAAAUAGUAUUAGUAGCACAAAAUCUUUGAAAUAUCAAGCUUAUAUGCCUUACACAUCAAAUGCCUUAGGUAUUGGCCAACUCAUUAGAAAAUACUGACAUUCAUUUAUAUUCUUUUCAAGUACUUCUUCCAUUUAAUUUUAUGUCUUAGUUUGACUAGACACGUAGUUUAAGAAAAUAACAAAGGUUUUCGGAUCUUUAUCGUCUUAAAUUAAAGCUGUUUAUAAUUUAUCAUAGUUUUCUUUGAAUCUUGUGGUUUUAAAUAUACCAGGUGAGAUAUUGGAAUUAAAGAGUUACUAAUAUAGAAAGUGACGUUCUUUUAAAGACAUACUAAAAAGGAAAGUAUGAUACAUCUAAAACAAAGGAGUAUAUUUCCUUUCCUCUUAUAUAUCAAAAUCUCAUGCUUGACUUUCUCAGCUAUUGAUGGCAUGAUCACAUGUUCUUUCAGAUGAAUUUAUCCAUCAUUAUGUAGUGGGGGAUGUUCAGGGAUUGGAUAGGAAAAAGAUUUUUACAGAAUUCGUUUAUACCAUCUAAAAUGUUACUAUCUUUAUACUGCACCAAGUGUUCAUUAAUAUGUUCAUUUAAUCUUGAUACUGCUAGGAUUUAGACCCUUUGUUUGUUCUUUUUAAUUAUUUAGCAUUUUUACCAACAAAUGUGUUGAUUAUCUUGGGUACUUUAUAAAUGUUGAUUAAAUCGUGUCUAUUCAAGCAUCCUUAAAAUGUCAUAUUUUGUCAAAUGAUAGACAUGUUUGAAGACUCCACUUUUCUUUUGCUGUGCUUUUUCCCAAGUCCAGAUUGUUUGGUGUUAUAAAUGGAUGAAUUCCAAGGGAUAAAAGUAAGUGGAUAAGGAAGGUCCAACUUACUCUUAAAUUUAACUUAAGAUGGACACUUGUGUUAUUAGGAAUCAUAGCAUUUAUGUCCAUUGGAGUUGUCUUUCUAGACAGUAUAAGCAACUACUCAGUAGUAAAUGUAUAGAAUUACUAGGUGUUGUAUCUUUGCCACAUAUUAUACUAUCUGAUUUAGACGAAUAGACCAUAUUUGUGUCUUUGUGGAUAUGACUAUUGUCCAUAUAUAUGCUACUCUAGUGUAUUGGGAGAUUUACAUAUUUUUGUUUUUGUUGGAAAUCCAGCAACUUUCUUUGCAUUAAUCAGUAAACAACACAAAACAGAAAUAACUAUUCUUUAUUGUCACCAGCAAGUAGAAUAAGUUUUACAAAUAGAGAAUGAAAUUCUAGCAUCCAAGGUAUUUCAAGGAAUCUUAACCUCCAAAUCUGCCAGUGAAAAUCCUACAUAAAAAUGACUGUCUUCCCUUCUUCCUAAACAACGUAACUUAAAAUAACUGCAUAAAACUGCAGUUAACUACUAGAAAUACAGGCACAUAAAUAUUAUAUAAAACAGUAAUAUUUAGGCCUUAUUUUCACCAUUUUUCGACCUUAGUAACAGCAGGUCUAAAACUUUCCCUUUUCUUUGUUGGUAAAUCCAUGUGUAAAUGCCAUCUUAUUGAUGAUAUUCUAGAACUUACUGCAAACAAACUAAAGUCUUUGUUCUUUAUCACACAGUUGAAAAAGUAAAGCCAAAAAGUUUCAGUUUUUGACUUCGAUUCCUGAAUGGAAACAUUAGAAUGCUGAAGAUAAAGACUCAAUAAGAUCCAAUUGUCUGUUGUUGCUUUAUUCUUAAUGUCCAAUUCUGGAUGUUUUUUUUUUCCGAGAAGGUAACAAUUAUUUCUGGAUGGUAGUCUUUGUCCAAAUUUUGCACUGUCAUUGGUUAAUCAUGUUCAUUUGGGUCAGCGGACUCCACUGAAUUCUAAAAAAUCGUUAAUUGGUGUAUAUAUCAGGAUGUUUAGUUGAGAAACCAGACACUUAAUAAUAUGACCUCAAUGACAAGAACUUAGGGCAUAGCCAUUGAUGACUAGGAGUGAUGCACGGUUCCAUUAAGCAUCACCUAACAUAGAAGAAUCUCAAAUUUGAGUCAAGUGCCGAAGUAUAGUUGUCAAUCUUGAAAUCAAUUCUGUCAGAUCAUUUUGGAGGAAUAUUGGAACUUCCUUUUUACCUUUCUAAGCAUUAUAUUGCUUAAGUUGAUUUAUUCCUAUUGUUUAUGAAGGUACGUCUUGGUUCUCCAUAAUUUAUAUUUCCUUGUGGUUUCCCGUUUGCCUUCAAGGAUGUUUCAAUCAUGUUCUUUUUGAGAAGCUUGCUGUAGUCGUUUUAUAGCACUGCUUGAUGCUUACAAAAUUACCUUAAAUUUACUUGCAGUUCUCUUGGUAUUGUUCAAUAAGGCAGCUCUUUCUUCAUACAACUUCCCAUCUGCAAAUGUCAUCACAUUCUGCCAGGUACCUAGAGACACUGUUUUUAGCAGGGAUGCCUUGUGAUCUCCGCAUUGGACCACACACUAUUUGUUCAUUUUCCUGGGCUGGUUACAGACAUUUGGUCUAUAAGCAAUUUGUCUUCAACAACAACAAACAACAGCGACGACCACAACAAUAACAUACCCAAUGUAAUCCCACAAAUGGGGUAUAGGGAGUGUGGUGUGUAUGCAGACCUUACCCCUACCGUGUGAGGGUAGAGAGGCUGUUUCUGACCUUUAAAUAGAUUUUCAAUUCAUCAUGCAAA